RNAcentral lists this long non-coding RNA (75489 nucleotides) under Triticum aestivum (bread wheat). RNAcentral's name for it is "long non-coding RNA (TAES_LNC008010)". Lineage: Eukaryota; Viridiplantae; Streptophyta; Magnoliopsida; Poales; Poaceae. The record is from RNAcentral.
GUGCUGUUGUUAGAUGUGGCGCAAGUGUGGCUCUGGAUCUGUGAGAUCAUCACUGGGUGUUAGUGUAGUAGAGUAGGGUUAUGGAACUUAACUUUGUUUAGGAGUAUUGCGUUCCCGCUUGUAUUUUGUAAAGACCUUUGCAGUCUUGUUGUAAUCGUGAGAAGUAUGGCGGCGCGAAGAUAAACUAACAGAAACCGACUGACCUACUAUGGGAAAUGACCUGAAUAUCAUGUCGGAUUCGAAAUGUGGGCACUGGUACUUUUAAGCAUGUGUACUUCUCAUGCCUCUGAUUCUGUUUUUCAUCUGAGAUCGAAGCAGUUACUCCUGGGCCAAUACUGCAUUGUCAUUUCUCAACAAGCAGAUGCUGAAGUGUGGAGUUGGCAGUGCACACAGUAUUUUUUAUUUAUUUUUGACAGUGCACACAGUAGCAAUUUUCCUAACAAGCAGAGACCAUGUGAUCUGGGGACUGGUAGUAGCCAUCGGCAUCGAAGCAACUAGACUGAUAGAAACUGCCUGAUUUCUGGAGAAAUGCUUCAAAUGAAACUUAUGUUUAUGUAUGUUUUGCAACGUGCGUAUGAGUACCAGUAAAACAUAAAGGGGAGCGAAAAUAGCUGACUCCCUAAAGCACGGCUCUUUACAAAUUCAGUUCAGGCUUGUGGCCUUGUGGGGGUUUCAAGCAUCGCAGACCCUGCAACUUUUGCGCUGAAACAUGGAGACUGGAGAAGAGUAGUGCAUCACCAUUUCCUGGUUUCACUGCAAGUCAAGACCAAAUCCUUGUUUUGGAAUGGGCGUUCCUGUGAAAUCUCUGGUUGCCAAUAAAGUUGGUUCAUAUAGGACAUGCAUAUUGUGGGCGUUCCUGUGAAAUCUCUGGUUGCCAAUAAAGUUGGUUCAUAUAGGAUGCAUAUUGUGACGUGUAAGGGCAUCUCCAACGUCGACUCUCAAACCGCCUGCAUACGUUCGGAUAUCGGUCUGCCGAGCGGUCCGGACCCACUUUUCCGCAAACGGGAGGCUUUGCGGGAGUCUAGACAUUCAUUUGCCCAGUGGAAAGCCACCACGCGCCCUCGUCCGUGCAUGAUGGCGGAAGGCCGAUGCUAUUUGGCAGAAUGGGAAAACUUGAUUAUUAACUGAUCAGCACGACGUUUUGGCCGAAGGCUUCAAGCUAGCUAGUUUGAUUUGGCGGAAGGCACAUUGUGCGAGCGGUAAACGUCUUGCCCUUGUCGAGGGCGACGUGUUCACGUUAUAUAGCAGGGGAGCCAAAACCCUAGAUGGCUUACAUGCGGUUUGAGAGAGAGAUAAGAGAGAAUCUAGGAUACAUCUUGUGAGAGAAGAAAGGAGGAGAUGGUUACAAGAAUAUCUCAAUACAAACUACCUCCUAGCCUUAUCUCUAAUAUGCCUGGCCUUAUCUCUAAUAUGCCGCAUAUGAUGGUGUUUAACACCCCCCCCCCCCCAAUCACAACUUCAUCAGGUUGAGAUUAUGCUUAAACUCUUCAAAGCUUCUGAUAGGCAAGGCUUUAGUAAACCCAUCUGCAACUUGAUCUCUAUAGUGAAUGAACCGAAUAUCAAGCUGUUUCCAUGCAACUCUUUCUCUGACAAAAUGAAAGUCUAUCUCUAUGUGCCUUGUUCUGGCAUGAAAGACUGGAUUUGCAGAUAAGUAGGUAGCACCAAGAUUAUCACACCACAAACAUGGAGUUUGAGAACUUCGGAUACCAAGUUCCUUUAGCAUUGAUUGAACCCGUAUGAUUUCAGCUGUAUCAUUUGCUAAUGCCUUGUACUCUGCCUCUGUGCUAGACCUAGACACUGUGGCCUGUUUUCUUGCACACCAUGAAAUCAAGUUUGGUCCAAAAAAUAUUGCAAAUCCACCAGUGGAGCGCCUGUCAUCCAGACAGCCUGCCCAAUCAGAAUCAGAGAAAGCACUAACAAGAGUUGAGGAUGACUUGCUGAAGUUAAGACCAAUGCUCAAAGUAUGUUUGACAUAUCUAACAAUGCGUUUUGCAGCAGUCCAAUGCACAGUGGUAGGAGCAUGCAGAAACUAACAUACCUUGUUGACAGCAAAAGAGAUAUCAGGCCUUGUUAGAGUCAAGUACUGUAGUGCACCUACCAAACUCCUGUACUUUGUACUAUCCUCUUGAUUCAAAAGUUGCCCUUCUGUGAGAGAUAGCUUUUCUGAGCUAGAUAAUGGAGUGAAGGAAGGUUUACAACCUUGCAGGCCUGCCUUUCUUACCAAAUCGGUUGCAUACUUCUCUUGAGAGAGAUGAAGUCCAUCUUUGUGUUUCUUCACCUCAAUCCCAAGGAAAAAAUGGAAAUCUCCAAGAUCCUUGAGAGCAAAUUCUGCACUUAAAUCCUUCAACAAUGAUGCAAUGGCCUCACUAGAUGAGCUUGUAACAAUAAUAUCAUCAACAUAGAUGAGAACAAAUAUGCAUGUAUUGAGCUUAUUGUAAAUAAACAGUGAGGUAUCUGACUUGGAAGGGACAAAACCAAGUGAUUGCAUCUUAUGACUAAGACGGGAAUACCACGCCCUUGGGGCCUGCUUCAAGCCAUAGAGUGCUUUAUCAAGUUUGCACACAAACGAGGAAUUAGACUUGCUCUCAAACCUAGGAGGCUGUUUCAUAUACACCUCUUCUUCCAGAACACCAUGAAGAAACGCGUUCUGUACAUCUAGCUGUCUGGGACUCCAUCCUCUAGAAACAGCAAUAGACAGAACAAGGCAAAUGGUGGCAGAUUUUACAACUGGACUAAAUGUAUCCUCAUAAUCAAUACCAUAUCUCUGUUUAAAACCUUUGGCAACAAGCCUAGCCUUGUAUCUAUCAAUAGUUCCAUCAAAUUUCCCUUUAACUCUGAACACCCACUUGCAAUCUAUAAGAUUUUUACCUUGCCGUGGGGGAACCAAAUGCCAUGUUUCAUUUUUCUUCAGUGCCACAUAUUCUUCCAUCAUUGCUUUUCUCCACUUUUCAUCUCCAAGUGCCUCAUCCAGAGUUCUUGGUUCAGCAUGUUCAUCUAUAGAAUAAACAAGGCCAUAUUUGCUUUGAUUUUUGUAAUUAAGGGGUUGAGUUACACCUUUUUGUAAUCGUGUGAGCUGCCUAGACUGCAUUGUUGAAUCAACCGGCAUAGAAGAUCUGGAGCCGCGCACAGGAGUCUCUGGUGCAGGCGAUCCCGAGGCAGAUUCGCCUAACACCCGCACUGGAUCCUCUGUGGCUUCAGCACGUGACGGCGAAGUUGUAUCAGCCGCAGAAGAUCCUGGCGCACUUCCUGACGCACCAGCAGGCUCAUCAUGAGCCAAUGAUUGCGCGGCGCCACGAGGAUCAGCACCGAAGCUCGCACCCUCCUGGUUGGUCGGGUCAGCGCUAGAUCCCGCGCCCGCGCCGGUCGGCCGCGCCUGGGCCCGCCGCUUGUAGCAGUGCGGUUGGUCGGGGAAGCGCAUGUCGCCCGCUCCACUGGGCCGCCGCCGCGUGGCAUCGGGCGAGCCACCAGCCUAGGGCUGGUCAACACGCGCGGCAGAUUCCUGUUGGAAAUAUGCCCUAGAGGCAAUAAUAAGUUAGUUAUUAUUAUUAUAUUUCCUUGUUCAUGGUAAUCGUUUAUUAUCCAUGCUAUAAUUGUAUUGAUAGGAAACUCAGAUACAUGUGUGGGUACAUAGACAACACCAUGUCCCUAGUAAGCCUCUAGUUGACUAGCUCGUUGAUCAAUAGAUGGUUACGGUUUCCUGACCAUGGACAUUGGAUGUCGUUGAUAACGGGAUCACAUCAUUAGGGGAAUGAUGUGAUGGAUAAGACCCAAUCCUAAGCCUAGCACAAAGAUCGUGUAGUUCGUAUGCUAAAGCUUUUCUAAUGUCAAGUAUCAUUUCCUUAGACCAUGAGAUUGUGCAACUCCCGGAUGCCGUAGGAAUGCUUUGGGUGUACCAAACGUCACAACGUAACUGGGUGGCUACAAAGGUACACUAUGGGUAUCUUCGAAAGUGUCUGUUGGGUUGGCACGAAUCGAGACUAGGAUUUGUCACUCCGUGUGAUGGAGAGGUAUCUUUGGGCCCACUCGGUAGGACAUCAUCAUAAUGUGCACAAUGUGACCAAGGGGUUGAUCACGGGAUGAUGUGUUAUGGAACGAGUAAAGAGACUUGCCCGUAACGAGAUUGAACAAGGUAUCGGGAUACCGACGAUCGAAUCUCGGGCAAUUACAAUACCGCUAGACAAAGGGAAUUGAAUACGGGAUUGAUUGAAUCCUCGACAUCGUGGCUCAUCCGAUGAGAUCAUCGUGGAACAUGUGGGAGCCAACAUGGGUAUCCAGAUCCCGCUGUUGGUUAUUGGCCGGAGAGUUGUCUCGGUCAUGUCUACGUGUCUCCCGAACCCGUAGGGUCUACACACUUAAGGUUCGAUGACGCUAGGGUUAUAGGGAAUAGAUGUACGUGGUUACCGAAUGUUGUUCAGAGUCCCGGAUGAGAUCCCGGACGUCACGAGGAGUUCCGUAAUGGUCUGGAGGUAAAGAUUUAUAUAUGGGAAGUCCUAUUUUGGUCACCGGAAAAGUUUCGGGUGCUAUCGGUAAUGUACCGGGACCACCGGGAGGGUCCCGGGGGUCCACCAAGUGGGGCCACCGGCCCCAGAGGGCAGCAUGGGCCAAGUGUGGGAGGGGACCAUCCCCAAGUGGGCUGGUGCGCCCCCCACCAGGGCCCAAGGCGCCUAGGGUUUGGGGAGGGGGCGCCUCCACCUUACUUGGGGGGCAAGUUUCCCCCUCUUCCCCCCUUGGCCGCCACCCUAGAUGGGUUUUGGGGCUGCCGCACCCCUUGGGGUGGGAACCCUAGAGGGGGUGCAGCCCCCUCCCUCUCCCCUAUCUAUAGUUGAGGUCUUUGGGGCUGCAAACACAUGAGUUUCUCCUCUCCCUGGCGCAGCCCUACCUCUCUCCCUCCUCCUCUCCCGCGGUGCUUGGCGAAGCCCUGCAGGAUUGCCACGCUCCUCCACCACCACCACGCCGUUGUGCUGCUACUGCACGGAGUCUUCCCCAACCUCUCCCUCUCUCCUUGCUGGAUCAAGGCAUGAGAGACGUCACCGAGCUGCAUGUGUGUUGAACACGGAGGUGACGUCCGUUAGGCACUAGGAUCAUCGGUGAUUUGGAUCACGACGAGUACGACUCCAUCAACCCCGUUCACUUGAACGCUUCCACUUAGCGAUCUACAAGGGUAUGUAGAUGCACUCUCCUUCCCCUCGUUGCUAGAUUACUCCAUAGAUUGAUCUUGGUGAUGCAUAGAAAUUUUUUGAUUUCUGCUACGUUCCCCAAUAGUGGUAUCAGAGCCAUGUCUAUGCAUAGUUUCUAUGCACGAGUAGAACACAAGUUGUUGUGGGAGUUGAUUUUGUUCAGUAUGCUUACCGUCACUAGUACAAUCUUGUUUCGACGGUAUUGUGGGAUGAAGCGGCCCGAACCGACCUUACACGUACACUUACGUGAGAUAGGUUCCACCGACUGACAUGCACUUGUUGCAUAAGGUGGCUAGCGGGUGCCAGUCUCUCCCACUUUAGUCGGAUCGGAUUCGAUGAAAAGGGUCCUUAUGAAGGGUAAAUAGCAAUUGACAUAUCACAUUGUGGUUUUGCAUAGAUAAGAAACGUUAUUGCUAGAAACCCAUAGCAGCCACGUAAAACAUGCAAACAACAAUUAGAGGACGUCUAACUUGUUUUUGCAGGGUAUGCUAUGUGAUGUGAUAUGGCCAAAAGUAUGUGAUGAAUGAUAUAUGUGAUGUAUGAGAUUGAUCAUGUUCUUGUAAUAGGAAUCACGACUUGCAUGUCGAUGAGUAUGACAACCGGCAGGAGCCAUAGGAGUUGUCUUAAUUUAUUGUAUGACCUGCGUGUCAUUGAACAACGCCAUGUAAUUACUUUACUUUAUUGCUAAACCGUUAGCCAUAGUAGUAGAAGUAAUAGUUGGCGAGACAACUUCAUGGAGACACGAUGAUGGAGAUCAUGAUGAUGGAGAUCAUGAUGAUGGAGAUCAUGGUGUCAUGCCGGUGACGAUGAUGAUCAUGGAGCCCCGAAGAUGGAGAUCAAAAGGAGCAAAAUGAUAAUGGGCAUAUCAUGUCACUUUUUGAUUGCAUGUGAUGUUUAUCAAGUUUAUGCAUCUUAUUUGCUUAGAACGACGGUAGUAAAUAAGAUGAUCCCUCAUUAAAAUUUCAAGAAAGUGUUCCCCCUAACUGUGCACCGUUGCGAAAGUUCGUUGUUUCGAAGCACCACAUGAUGAUUGGGUGUGAUAGAUUCUAACGUUCACAUACAACGGGUGUAAGCCAGAUUUACACAUGCGAAACACUUAGGUUGACUUGACGAGCCUAGCAUGUACAGACAUGGCCUCAGAACACAAGAGACUGAAAGGUCGAGCAUGAGUCGUAUGGUAGAUACGAUCAACAUGAAGAUGUUCACCGACGAUGACUAGUCCGUCUCACGUGAUCAUCGGACACGGCCUAGUUGACUCAGAUAAUGUAAUCACUUAGAUGACUAGAGGGAUGUCUAUCUGAGUGGGAGUUCAUAAGAUGAACUCAAUUAUCCUGAACAUAGUCAAAAGGUCUUUGCAAAUUAUGUCGUACUCACGCUUUAGUUCUACUAUUUAGAUAUGUUCCUAGAGAAAAUAUAGUUGAAAGUUGAUAGUAGCAAUUAUGCGGACUGGGUCCAUAAACCGAGGAUUGUCCUCGUUGCUAUGCAAAAAGCUUAUGUCCUUAAUGCACCGCCCGGUGUGCUGAACCUCGAACGACGUCUGUGGAUGUUGCGAACAUUUGACAUACACGUUUUGAUAACUACGUGAUAGUUCAGUAAUAUUAAAUGGUUUACAAUUGAGGCACCAAAGACGAUUUCGAAACGUCGCGGAACAUAUGAGAUGUUUUCGAGGGCUGAAAUUGGGAUUUCAGGCCCGUGCCCACGUCAAGAGGUAUAAGACCUCCGAGGAUUUUCUUAGCCUACAAACUAAGGGAGAAAAGCUCAAUCAUUGAGCUUGUACUCAGAUUGUCUGGGUACAACAAUCACUUGAAUCGAGUGGGAGUUAAUCUUCCAGAUGAGAUAGUGAUGUUUCCCCAAAGUCAUUGCACCAAGCUACUAGAGCUUCGUGAUGAACUAUAACAUAUCAGGGAUAGAUAUGAUGAUCCUUGAGAUAUUCGUGAUGUUUGACACCGCGAAAGUAGAAAUCAAGAAGGAGCAUCAAUUGUUGAUGGUUAGUGAAACCACUAGUUUCAAGAAGGGCAAGGGCAAGAAGGGAUACUUCAUGAAACGGCAAAUUCAGCUGCUGGUCUAGUGAAGAAACCCAAGGUUGAACCCAAACCCGAGACUCAGUGCUUCUGUAAUAAAGGGAACAACCACUGGAGCAGAAUUACCCUAGAUACUUGGUAGAUGAGAAGGCUGGCAAGGUCGAUAGAAGUAUAUUGGAUAUACAUUAUGUUAAUGUGUACUUUACUAGUACUCCUAGUAGCACCAGGGUAUUAGAUACCGGUUCGGCUGCUAAGUGUUAGCAACUCGAAAUAAAAGGCUACAGAAUAAACGGAGACUAGCUAAAGGCGAGGUGACGAUGUGUGUUGGAAGUAAUUCCAAGAUUGAUGUGAUCAAGCAUCGCACGCUCUCUGUACCAUCGAGAUUGGUGUUGAACCUAAAUAAUUGUUAUUUGGUGUUUGUGUUGAGCAUAGACAUGAUUGGAUUAUGUCUAUCGCAAUACGGUUAUUCAUUUAAGGAGGAUAAUGGUUACUCUGUUUAUUUGAAUAAUACCUUCAAUGGUCUUGCACCUAAAAUGAAUGGUUUAUUGAAUCUCGAUCGUAGUAAUACACAUGUUCUUGCCAAAAAGAUAUAAGAUAGUAAUGAUAGUACCACCUACUUGUGGCACUGCCAUGUAGGUCAUAUUGGUAUAAAACGCAUGAAGAAGCUCCAUGUUGAUGGAUCUUUGGACUCACUCGUUUUUCAAAAAUUUGAGACAUGCGAACCAUGUCUAUUGGUGUAUAUGCAUGAAGAAACUCCAUGCAAAUGGACCGUUUGGACUCACUUGAUUUUGAAUCACUUGAGACAUGCAAAUCAUACCACAUGGGCAAGAUGACUGAAAGCCUCGUUUUCAGUAAAAUGGAACAAGAAAGCAACUUGUUGGAAGUAAUACAUUUUGAUGUGUGCAGUCCAAUGAGUGUUGAGGCACACAGUGGAUAUCGUUAUGUUCUUACUUCAUGGAUGAUUUGAGUAGAUACUGAGUAUAUUUACUUGAUGAAACACAAGUCUGAAUUAUUGAAUGGUUCAAGUAAUUUCAGAGUGAAGUUGAAAAUCAUCGUGACAAGAGGAUAAAAUGUCUAUGAUAUGAUCAUAGAGAUGAGUAUCUGAGUUACGAGCUUUGGCACGCAAUUAAGACAUUGUGGAAAUUUUUUCACAAUUAAUACCGCCUGGAACACCAUAGUGUGAUGGUGUGUCCAAACAUCAUAGUUGCACCCUAUUGGAUAUGGUGCGUACCAUGAUGUCUCUUAUCGAAUUACCACUAUCGUUCAUGGGUUAGGCAUUAGAGACAACCGCACUCACUUUAAUAGGGCACCACGUAAUUCCGUUGAGACGACACCGUUUGAACUAUGGUUUGGAGAAACCUAAGUUGUCGUUUCUUAAAAGUUUGGGGUUGCGACGCUUAUGUGAAAAAGUUUUAGGUUGAUAAGCUCGAACCCAAAGCGGAUAAAAUGCAUCUUCAUAGGACACCCAAAACAGUUGGGUAUACCUCUUAAUUCAGAUCCGAAAGCAAUAGGGAUUGUUUCUUGAAUCGGGUCCUUUCUCGAGGAAAAGUUUGUCUCAAAAAUUGAGUGGGAGGAUGGUGGAGACUUGAUGAGGUUAUUGAACCGUCACUUCAACUAGUGUGUAGCAGGGCAAAGGAAGUUGUUCCUGUGGCGCCUACACCAAUUGAAGUAGAAACUUAUGAUAAUGAUCAUGAAGUUUUGGAUCAAGUCACUACCGUACCUCGUAGGGUGAUAAGGAUGCGUACUACUUCAAAGUGGUACAGUAAUCCUGUCUUGAAGGUCAUGUUGCUAGACAACAAUGAACCUACGAGCUAUGGAAAAGCGAUGGUGGGCCCAUAUUCCGACAAAUGGUUAGAAGCAAUUAAAUCCAAGAUAGGAUCCAUGUAUCAGAACAAAGCAUGGACUUUGGUGGACUUGCCCGAUGAUCGGCAAGCCAUUGAGAUAAAUGGAUUUUUAAGAAGAAGACGGACGUGGACGGUAAUGUCACCGUCUAUGAAGCUCAACUUGUGGUGAAGAGUUUUUCACAAGUUCAAGGAGUUGACUACGAUGAGAUUUUCUCAUCCGUAGCGAUGCUUAAGUCCGUCGGAAUCAUGUUAGCAUUAGCUGCAUUUAUAAAAUCUGGCAGAUGGAUGUCAAAACGAGUUUCCUUACCAGUUUUUGUAAGGAAAGAUUGUAUGUGAUACAAUCAGAAAGGUUUUGUCGAUCCUAAGGAUGCUAAAAGGUAUGCUAGCUCCAGCGAUCCUUCCAUGGACUAGAGUAAGCAUCUCGGAGUUGGAAUAUACACUUCGAUAAGAUGAUCAAAGAUUUUGGGUUUAUACAAAGUUUAUGAGAAACUUGUAUUUCCAAAGGAGUGAGUGGGAGCACUAUAGAAUUUCUGAUGAGUAUAUGUUGUUGACAUAUUGUUGAUCAGAAAUGAUGUAGAGUUUCUGGAAAGCAUAUAGGGUUAUUUGAAAAGUGUUUUUCAAGGGAAAACCUGGAUUAAGCUACUUGAACAUUGAGCAUCAAGAUCUAUAAGGAUUGAUCAAAAACCGCUUAAUGGUACUUUCAAAUGAGCAUAUACCUUGACAUGAUCUUGAAGGUGUUCAAGAUGGAUCAGUCAAAGAAGGAGUUCUUGCCUGAGAUGUAAGGUAUGAAGUUAAGACUUAAAGCUCGACCACGGUAGAAAAGAGAGAAAGGACGAAGGUCGUCCCCUAUGCUUUAGACGUAGGCUCUACACUAUGCUAUGUUGUGUACCGCACCUGAUGUGUGCCUUGCUACAUAUCUGGCAAGAGGGUACAAAGGUCAUCAAGGAGUGGAUCACCAGAUAGCGGUCAAAAUUAUCCUUAGAGGAAUAAGGAUAUGUUUCCCGGUUAUGGAGGUGAUAAAGAGUUCAACGUAAAGAGUUGCGUUGAUGCAAGCUUUAACACCUAUCCGAAUGACUCUGAGUAGCAAACCGGGUACGUAUAGUGUAGCGACCAUUUGGAAUAGCUCCAAGUGGAGCGUGGAAGCAGUAUUUACAAUAUGACCUAGAGAUUUGCGAAGUACAUACGGAUCUGAAUGUUGCAGACCCAUUGACUAAAACCUCUCUCACAAGCAAAACAUGAUCAAACCCCAGAACUCAUUGAGUCGUAAUCACAUGAUGAUGUGAACUAGUUUGGUGACACUAGUAAACUCUUUGGAUGUUGGUCACAUGGCGAUGUGACAUGUGAGUGUUAAUCACAUGGCGAUGUGAACUAGAUUAUUGACUCUAGUGCAAGUGGGAGACUGUUGGAAAUAUGCCCUAGAGGCAAUAAUAAGUUAGUUAUUAUUAUUAUAUUUCCUUGUUCAUGAUAAUCGUUUAUUAUCCAUGCUAUAAUUGUAUUGAUAGGAAACUCAGAUACAUGUGUGGGUACAUAGACAACACCAUGUCCCUAGUAAGCCUCUAGUUGACUAGCUCGUUGAUCAAUAGAUGGUUACGGUUUCCUGACCAUGGACAUUGGAUGUCAUUGAUAACGGGAUCACAUCAUUAGGCGAAUGAUGUGAUGGACAAGACCCAGUCCUAAGCCUAGCACAAAGAUCGUGUAGUUCGUAUGCUAAAGCUUUUCUAAUGUCAAGUAUCAUUUCCUUAGACCAUGAGAUUGUGCAACUCCCGGAUGCCGUAGGAAUGCUUUGGGUGUACCAAAUAUCACAACGUAACUGGGUGGCUAUAAAGGUACACUACGGGUAUCUCCAAAAGUGUCUGUUGGGUUGGCACGAAUCAAGACUGGGAUUUGUCACUCCGUGUGACGGAGAGGUAUCUCUGGGCCCACUCGGUAGGACAUCAUCAUAAUGUGCACAAUGUGACCAAGGGGUUGAUCACGGGAUGAUGUGUUACGGAACGAGUAAAGAGACUUGCCGGUAACGAGAUUGAACAAGGUAUCGGGAUACCGAUGAUCGAAUCUCGGGCAAGUACAAUACCGCCAGACAAAGGGAAUUGAAUACGGGAUUGAUUGAAUCCUCAACAUUGUGGUUCAUCCAAUGAGAUCAUCGUGGAACAUGUGGGAGCCAACAUGGGUAUCCAGAUCUCGCUGUUGGUUAUUGGCCGAAGAGUUGUCUCGGUCAUGUCUACAUGUCUCCCGAACCCGUAGGGUCUACACACUUAAGGUUCGAUGAUGCUAGGGUUAUAGGGAAUAGAUGUACGUGGUUAUCAAAUGUUGUUCGGAGUCCCGGAGGUCACGAGGAGUUCCGGAAUGGUCCGGAGGUAAAGAUUUAUAUAUGGGAAGUCCUGUUUUGGUCACUGGAAAAGUUUCCGGUGCUAUCGAUAAUGUACCGGGACCACCGGGAGGGUCCCGGGGGUCCACCAAGUGGGGCCACCGGCCCCACAGGGCAGCAUGGGCCAAGUGUGGGAGGGGACCAGCCCCAGGUGGGCUGGUGCGCCCCCCCCCCACCAAGGCCCAAGGCGCCUAGGGUUUGGGGAGGGGGCGCCUCCACCUUACUUGGGGGGCAAGUUUCCCCCUCUUCCCCCCUUGGCCUCCACCCUAGAUGGGUUUUGGGGCUGCCGCACCCCUUGGGGUGGGAACCCUAGAGGGGGCGCAGCCCCCUCCCUCUCCCCUAUAUAUAUUUGAGGUCUUUGGGGCUGCAAACACAUGAGUUUCUCCUCCCCCUGGCGUAGCCCUACCUCUCUCCCUCCUCCUCUCCCGCGGUGCUUGGCGAAGCCCUGCAGGAUUGCCACGCUCCUCCACCACCACCACGCCGUUGUGCUGCUGCUGGACGGACUCUUCCCCAACCUCUUCCUCUCUCCUUACUGGAUCAAGGCAUGGGAGACGUCACCGGGCUGCAUGUGUGUUGAACACGGAGGUGCCGUCCGUUCGGCACUAGGAUCAUCGGUGAUUUGGAUCACUCCAUCAACCCCGUUCACUUGAACACUUCCGCUUAGCGAUCUACAAGGGUAUGUAGAUGCAGUCUCCUUCCCCUCGUUGCUAGAUUACUCCAUAGAUUGAUCUUGGUGAUGCGUAGAAAUUUUUUGAUUUCUGCUACGUUCCCCAACAAUUCCGUCGCUGGCCGGUGUGGCGCGUCUGCCAGCGCGGAUCCCGGUGCGGAUCUGCUGGACCGCAGCUGGUUCGGCGCCGAUCCUAAGGAGGAUUUGUUCCCCAAAUCUGGACAUAGCCACUAUGGCACUUGGGAGCCAUUUUCCUCAUCAUUUUUUUCGCUGGUUGUUCCUGCAACGUCACAAGAGAACUCGGGUGCACCAUUAGGAGGGUUAGUCGGCAUUGAAUCAUCACAAGUAAUUCCCCCAUGAUCAAGGCCAGUGAGAGAAGAGGGUAGGAGUAGAAUUUCUUUGCGAAGUAAAGCACCGGCGUUGGGAUGAAUAUCAGUGAAAGGAAACUUUGUUUCGUCAAAAACAACAUCACGGGAGAUAUAAACUCGCCCCGUAGACACAUCUAGGCACUUGACACCUUUGUGUUGGCACUAUACCCAAGAAAUACACAUUGCUUUGAUUGAAACAUAAGUUUGCAUUGAUUGUAUGGAUGAAGAUUAGGCCAACAUGCACACCCAAAAACACGAAGAGACGUGUAGUCAGGUUUGGUGUGGAGUAGCCAUUCUACUGGAGUUUCAUUAUUGAUAACGUGACUAGGAAGCAUGUUAAUGAUGUGAACGGCAGUGAGAAAGGCUUCAUCCCAGAAUUUUAAAGGCAUGGAGGCGCCAGCUAAGAGAGCUAGGCCGACCUCAACAAUGUGCCUGUGCUUGUGUUCAGCAGAGCCGUUUUGUGGGUGAGCGUGGGGGCACGACACAUGGUGAGAUAUGCCGAGAGUUUGAAAGAAAGAAUUUAAUUUCUCAUACUCUCCACCCUAGUCUGAUUGGACAGCAAGUAUCUUGCUGUCAAAUUAGCGUUCAAUGAGUGCUUGAAAGUUCUUAAAAACUUGAAAGACAUCAGAUCUUUUCUUAAGAAGAUAAAUCCAGGAAAAUUUAUUGUAGUCAUCAAUGAAACUUACGUAGUACAUAUGUCUACCUACUGAGUUGGGGGCAGGACCCCAAACAUCUGAGAAAAUUAAUUGCAAUGGUUUGGUAGACACACUAGUGGAUAUAGGAUAGGGUAGCUGAUGACUCUUAGCUCGUUGACAGGAAUCACAAAUAGUUUCAAUAUUGCGCUCACCAACAAACGGGAGCUUAUUCUUUCGAAGUAAUUUUUCAACUAAAGAAAAAGAAGCAUGUCCUAGACGAUCAUGCCAUCGUGUGGAUGAAAGCUUGAUAGCACCACAAGCUUGUGUAUUCAGUCUCCUAAGCUCCGGAAUCAACAGGUAGAGUCCACGAACACAUCUACCUCGAUAGAGAAUUCUCUUCAUCACCUGAUCCUUGAUCAAAAAGAAGUAAGGGUGAAACUCAAGGAAGACAUGAUUAUCAAGAGCAAUUCUAUGGACAGAGAGAAGACUUUUGUCGGCAUUAGGAACAUGCAAAAAUUUCCUAAGAUGGAUUUUACGAGAAGGGGUACUAAAACUUGAAUGACCAAUGUGACUGAUCUCCAUACCUUCACCACUAGCCGUGUUUGUAGGAGAUAUGCCCUAGAGGCAAUAGUAAAUGAUAUUAUUUAUCUCCGUGUUCAUAAUUAUGUUUAUGUUCCAUGCUAUAACUGCUAUGGUUCUCGAGUCUGCAAUAACACGAGGCUCAGAGGAAGACUCAUAUGUGCGUGUGGAAUAAUAAACGGUAAGAAGUAUUCUUAGUCUGGCCUCUAAGACUAGCUGAAGUGUUGCAUGAUGGUUCUGUUUUCCUGAUCAUGGGCAUGUCAAUGCCAACAACUUUGAGGGCACAAUGUUAAGAGAACAUUUGUGUUGAAUCGACCCGGAUUGAUGUUAUGCUAUGAGAUUCAUUCGUCACAAGUUAAUGGUACAUAACACAGAGAUGAUUAACGUUUGCAUGAUUCCUUAGACCAUGAUAGUAUCGAGUUUCUUCAUGCUUGCUUCAUGAACUUUGGGGUUUGUUAAACGUCAUCCGUAAAUGGGUGGCUAUUACGGCGGCUUACGGGUUCAUGGAAAAGUAUGUCAAGUAACUUGAUAUCUCAAGAUUGGGAUUUGCUCCUCUGACAAUGGAGAGAUAUUCUCGGGCCCUCUCGGUGUUACGGUAUCCAUCAUCGUCUGGCCAAACACAGUGUGAUUUGAUCACAGGGAUGCCAGAACACGGACACGAGAAAAGAGAACAAAACCAGUAAUGAGGUAAUUAGCAUAGUGGACAAGUUGUUGAUCCAUGGGGAUGCAAGUAAAUCUCACCUCGGGUCUUUGUAACAUAUUGCGAAGCAACAGGAAUAGCAAACGGCAACUGGAGGUUCACUCGUGUAUUCAUUCGUGUGGGUAUAGGGGUUAAUAUGGGUGUCCACGGCUCCGAUGUUGAUCAUUGAUCGAAAAGUGUUCCGGUCAUGUCUAUGCUUCACCGAACCUAUAGGGUCACACGCUUAAGGGUCAUCUAUCUGCUGAAUACUAGACAUGGAGUCUGAGAGAAAUUUGCCGAAAAAGUUUCAGAGACAAUGGAAGAGUUCCGGAGAGAGAAUAGCGAAAUAGUUUCGUAACACCGAAAAGUUGUUUCGUGAUAUACCAUUAAGUCAAAUUGGUUUCCGGACAUGCCUGAUAAUUCUUGGAGGGUGCCAGAAUUAUUCUGGAAACUUAUGGGAAUUUUUGGGGAUAAAAAACGAAAAUGUUUCGGAGCUACCGGUACCGCUUUGGUUGUUUUUCGCAGAUGAAAUUCACUAAUCUGAAAUUGUUUUAGAACAAAUCCAAAAUCAUUUUAGUGGGUACUGUAAUUAUUCUAAGAUCCACAGAAAUAUUUUCGGAUUUAAUGGACGCGAAAAAUUGUCUUCAUGAAUAGUGAAAACGCAUUCUUGUUUGCUUUUCACAGAUGAAAAUCACUAAACAGAAAUUGUUUCGGAACGCGUUGAAAAUUGUUUUAGUGGGUACUGGAAAUGUUUUGAGCCCACAUAAAUAUUUUCAAUUCGAACGGACGCUGAAAAUUGUCCUCAUGAAUAGUGAAAGUGCUUUUUUCUUGGCUUCUUGGAGAAGCCACCUUGAGGGCCUUUUGGUAUUAUCCCCUUGGCUUCUUGGAGAAGCCACCCUUGGGCUUGGCCUAUAAAUAGGGGUGGAGGGGGCUGCCUAAAGAUACACUCUUUCUCACAUACAAGUGCCAUUGCAAUGAUCUGGCUUCUCUCUCCCUCGCAGCGAAAUAGUUUCAUAGAGCCGAAAGGUUGUCUGGGUUCUGGCAGGAACUAGUUCUGGACGGCGAAGCCCUGCCGGAUAGGUGACACCAUAUGUGUGCAAAUCUGUAGAGAGGUCAUAGUUUCGAUCUUAGUGCCCGAGAGGCUGUUCCAGAGUGCCUCCCGAAGGGCUGUCCAAGUGACGGUCCGAGUUCUGUGGGUCCUCCCGAAGGGCUGUCCGCGACACCGUCCGGGGGACUGUUCGACUGCCUCCCGGAGGGCUGUCCGAGGGGCGGAUGAGGGAGUACAUCCUCGCGGUUGGGAGGUUGUAAAUCCUAGCUGCGGGGAUCUGCACCGACGAUUGUCAUCAACUCUACUUCCGUUGCGCUAUGAGUCGGUAACAAAAAUGAUCAAACCUUGUAUGCAGUCUCCAUAGUGGUCCUGGGCUGGUGCGUAGGUCAGAAUUUUUUUGUUUUCUGUCGUGUUCCCCUACAGUGGCAUCAUGAGCCGUGCUAUGCGUAGAUGCAGGUUGCGAUCUAUAAUACAUGGAGAUGUAUGGGUGUUGCACAAUAAUAAUUAGGUAGUAGUUCUAUUAUUGAAAAUUAUUUGUGUGGGUAGAAGAUGAAAUCUGUUACCCGAUAUUGUUGUUGCUUCCCUUAAAUUUGUGUAGUCCUGAUCUUGACAGCAUUGUGGAAUCUGACAAAGUUCUGGCAAUCCGCGAGCCUUUCAUGCUGCUCCUGAGCAUGCUGAUUGACAGAUCAACGAAGUGCUAACAGUUCUUUGGGUUCCACUUUAGUCAAAGAAAGAUGGAUGUUUUGCAGACUAAAGGGUAAUGCAGAUAUGAUCUGCACGGGGGUCAUGCGUAUGACGAAGUUCAGUGUGGGGCUCGAGAUUUCAUUAUCUCGUGUUUCAUACACCCCGAUAAGUUAAUCUAGCGCUUGAAUUAUCAUACUUGAUGAUGGAUGUUGGUAACUUCGGUUUGUUUCGAAACCUUAGAAGCCACGUAAAACAAGUUUUUGCAUGAACCGAUUAGAGACGUCUAACUUGGUUUUGCAGGAGGGUUUGCAUGUGCAUAUGAUGUGGUAUAGCAGUGCUCGUAAUAAUUUGAUUAUGUAUGAGAUGUCUAUAUGAUGUAAAUUGAUUAACAUGACAUGCGUGUCAUGAUUUGGCAUGAUGGUUGGAGCCAUAUGAUUGCACUUUAAAUGACCUGCAUAUCAACCGUGUGUAAUGCAUUAUUUUAUUAGCUAUAGAGAUAACAAUAUUAUCUGGCACAUCGACAAGGUGGUGGCAAUCUUCGCGAAGAUGAACACCGACGCGAACGCCGAAAGACGAAGAAAUACAAGACUUCUCCGUCAUAAAGGGCUAUACCAUAUCAUGCUAAUUAUGAAUUGCCUGAAAUGCUUAUCCCUUAUGAUGCACCCUUCUUGAUUGCGUGGUAGUCGCUUUUAUUAGGGUGAUCUCUCACAAAAAUAUCAAGUAGUUAGUGUUCUCCCAAGUGUAGCACUGUCACGGCACCUAACUUUUCGGGGUAUCGCAGGAUCUCCCUGGGUACGAACGAUUAGGGAAGUGUGAGGCAGGUGAGUUGAGACCUCGCAGCAAGAUCACUUGGUUGUCUUGACAUUCUGGAAGGAUCUCCCUGAGCUCGGAACACGCCCAUCGAAAGAUGAACAAGAGUCACAUAGAGAUGUGAUCGGCAAGUUUGCCUACCGAUUGAAUUUCGUGCCAUCAGUGUUCAUCUCGUUCAAUGGCUUUGAAUGGAUAUGCGGGUCUUGUGUCACUCAUAAUCAAUUUUGAGAGAUAUUGAUUUGAGUGGGAGCGCACUGUUGAAUUAACAUGUUUAAUUCUCAGUGCAAUUAAUUAUGAACACUGUCUAAGUGUUUCUUGCAAAAUAGUUGUAGAAUAAUGGCUCGCUUUUUCACCUUCCCUGUUAAAAUUGAAUAGCUGUUAAAUAUCUGGUUAAAACUUUACGAUUGGUAACGUAAUGUGAGGAUUGUCCUCAAAAGUGCCGAGAAGGACUUUGUCCUAUCGCAUGCUUUCCGUAUCCUCCCGUUAAUGCUAUGGAUCAUGUGACUCUCGUCCUUCAAUCCAAAAGCUAGAAUUCUGUUUCGGUCAAGUGGAAUAUGUUUGCUUCCAUGAAACCCAAACUUUGAAAGUUGGGAUAGUUAUAUGAUAUUCAUGGAACUGAAAAUUAUUUUCAGAUACAAACAAAGCAAUGUUUGUUUGCAAGUAUUAGUAAAAGUGUUUAACAUGCAUUUGACUGUUGGGAAAGGGAUCCAGAAGAACGCCUGUCAUAUAAUAAAAGGUGAAUAAAACAACAACUUAAAGAGAAAGGAAGUGUCCAAAGGGUGUUAGUAUGACUUACACGCCUAGGAAGUCCGGGGCUAACGCCACUCUUAAGUUAGGUGCUUCUUUUGCGAGUAGGAGAAAUACUAAAAGUUAAACUGUUAGAAGUAUAAAGGCAGAAAGAAAGAUGACUGGAAUAUCCAGCUCAUGUAUGAAUGUCAUACAAGUUUUUGAUGUAUAGUAGUCUGGUCAAAGAUAUAGUUCUUGGGAAUUAUGGUUAAACAUGUUAAUCACUAAUUCUUGGGUAUUGUGAGUUAAUCACAAAGAUACCCGCUCGAUUGCAUUCUCUUGCGAAUCAAGGUAAGAGCUACUAUGGCCUGAAAGACUAGCCAGAAAUGAGGUUAUGGUAUACACAGGGAACAUGGUAAAUGUUACUAUACCUUCCAUCGGUGUAUUGUUGUCUGUAUUUAUUUUCAUAAUUCAUUUAGAGUUUUACAAACUCUAGCCCAUUGCAUAAGGUAUCUUGCAAGAAGGUUGUUCAUAAGAGAACUUUUUAUGUUCGAUGUUAUGAAUAACACAAGGGCCAUACUUUCAUUAUGAAUGAGAUGUAUGUUAUGAAUAUUGAUAAUAAUACAAUACCUCUAGGUUUACUUUCAUAAUUCAUUUUAGAGUUUCAUACACUCUAGCCCAUUGCACAAUGUUUGUUGCAAAAGAGUUAUUCAUAAAAACAACAAUUGUUGGUAAGUAUUAUGAAUAACAUGAAGGGCCAUGCUUCCAUCCAAGAUGGGAUGUAUGUUAUGAAUAUUGAUGGUAAUAUGAUACAUCCAUAACACUGACGCUAAAUGUCGCAAGACUAAAAGAAUACUACACAAGUGUGGCACUACAUUUGGUCACAUUGGAGAAACCCGCAUGGAAAAUUCCAUUAUGAUGGAUUUUGAAGUCUUUUUGAUUUUGAAUCAUCUGACACUUGCAACUUUCCUCCGAAAAGUGAAGUGACUGAAAUACCGUUCACAGGACAUAAGGAACGAGCAACAAACUUAUUGGUGAUCAUACAUUUUGAUGUGUGUAGUUCAAUAAAUGUUGUUGCAAGUAGUGGACUUAUAUAUCUUCAGAAAUGACUCAAGUAGAUAUAUGGAUAUUUGCUUGAUGAGACGUAAGUCUGGAUCUUUUGAAAUCAUUCGAAAGGUUUUCAAAAAUGAAGUACAAGUUAUUGUAACAAGGAAAUUAUGUUUCUACAAUUUGAUUGCGGAAAGGAAUAUCUGAGUUACAAGUUUAGCGAAUGUCUGAUGAGUUGUGAAAAGAGUUUCAUAACUUACAACUCCAGGAACACCACUAUGAGUGGAAUGUCUGUGAAGAUGCAAUCAAAACAUUUAUGACAUGGUAAGAUCAAAGAUGACAUAAAUAAAUUUGCCAUUAUCACUUUUAAAGAGUAAUGCUUUAGAGACUGCGGCUUUUACACUGAAAAGAGCUCCAUCAGGUCUGUUGAAAUGACGACAUGGUAUGGUACGCGCAACCAUGUUAUAUCUUUUCUUAACAUUUGGAAUAUGGGGCUUGUGUAAAAGGUUACAAACCUAUUCCAAAUCAGACAAGUGCUACUUUGUAAGUUAUCCCAAGUCAUUGGGUAUUCCCCCACCACUAUACCGAGGCAAAGGAUUUUUGCCACAAAACGAUAUGCUUUUAAAGAGAAUAGUUGUUGCAAAAGGGUAAGUGGGAGGACAGUGCAACUCGACGAGAUAACAAGUAUCUUCGUCAUCAGGUCAAAGGAAAGGAACCUAGGAAGUAAUUCUAGAGUUUCCUACUGCGACUGAUACGGAAGCCUCUACAUUAGAUGUAUGGGCUUCGGUCGAACUUGUAGCUGAAUAACAUAGGCAAAGCUCGUGCAAACCUCUCAGGUGCACAAACGAGAUAUUGUUGUUAGACAAUAGUAUAUGUAUGAUACACAAGGAAGUGUUGAUGGGCCCUGACUCCGGAAUUGGCUGAAUGCCAAUAUAAUCCGAGAUAGUUUCCAUAAAUGAUUCAAGAUUUAAAUCUUGAUAAACCCUUUGAAAGACUUGGAGUCUAGCGGAUUGUAAUGGGACUAUAAACUGAUAUGGAUAAAAAUGUUUUAUCCAUUAAGCUUGACUUGUUGCAAUAACAAGUUCAAGGAGUUGACUACAAUGAGAUUGUCUCACCGUAGCAAUGCUUAAAGUCGGUUUGGGUUAAACUAGCAAUUAAUACAUAUUUCAAACAUGAGAUAUGCAACAUGGAUGACAAAAUAAUUUCCAUGAAAUGGAAAUACAACCUAGGACUUGUAUGUGAUACAGUACAAAGUAUUUUGUCAGUCCAGAGUAUGCUAGUAAGUAUGCAAACUUCAGAGUUCCAGCAAUGGACAGAAGAGAGCAAAAUGGAGUUGGAAUCUUCGUUUUUGAUGGAAUGGUCAAAGGGGUUUGACUUCAUCAAUGAGUAACGAAGAUGCUUGUGGUUUCAAGAAAGUAAGUGGGAGCGUAAUAAUAUUUCUAAAAACCUUGUGUGCUUGACACAUUGUUAAUUGGAAAUAAAUUUCUUGACACGAAUUAGGACUUCAUUUGAAAAUAGUUUUUUGAUGAAGUACUUAGGCUAAAUAGCCUCAAUAUUAGGCAUAAUGAUCUAUGGAGAUAGAUUUACCUAAUAGGGCUAAGCAAUAAAUACAUAUUGACAAGAUGAUAAAACCGUUUAGCACUAAGAACGACAAGGAGUGAUUCUUGCCGAAGUCACAUGGAAAGAGUUUUUGCAAGAAUCGGUGUCCCAAAACACUGAUGAGCAAAAUACAUGAUGCAGAUUCCACACACUUUUGUGUUUGGAUUAAUCAUGUAUUCCAUGGUAUGUAAAACAACUAGAUAUGUUCGAUACUCCCAAGGUGUUGCGAGUAUAGAUACUAAAGUGAUCAAAGUACUGAUCAUGGGACAACAGUGAAAGAUGUCAUUGAGUACUAGAGUAAGUACUGAUGAUAUGUUUUCUUACAAGCGGAGAUCAUGAAGAGUUCGUUGUAAAAUGUUACAUCGAUACAGUCUUCAUCUUUUCUCCAUGCGAUUUUCGAUUUAAGUUAAGGGUUUUGUGUAAUACACAAUAUGGUGGCACGGUAGUUGGAAAUUGUUCCGAACAGGAUACUGUGGCGAAUUCUAUAACAAAUGACUAAGUAUGUUGACGCUUUAGAAGCGACAAACAAGAUGUUGAAUCAUAUAGUUCAUUCAUGAACUUAGUAUGGUUCCAAGAAGGCUUUGGUCAAUGGGAAACUAUUGCAGAUAGUUGCUCCAUAGCUCAGUCUGAGGAAUCAGGUUUCGACCAAUGAUUCACAUAUAUACAAAGCCAAGUCCGCACAAAAUAUGAAUUUUGUGAAAGCGUGAAAAUGCGAGGAUAUGCAGAGAUACACAAGGAGCUGAAGUUUCCAGAUCCGAUGGACAUCAGGCUAUACCACAUGCAUUUUUUACACCAAUAUGCCAUAGGUGUAAAGUGCAUUAGCAUUAACUAGAUUAUUGACUCUAGUGCAAGUGGGAGUCUGUAGGAGAUAUGCCCUAGAGGCAAUAAUAAAUGAUAUUAUUUAUCUCCAUGUUCAUAAUUAUGUUUAUGUUCCAUGCUAUAACUGCUAUGGUUCUCGAGUCUGCAAUAACGCGAGGCUCGAAGGAAGACUCAUAUGCGCGUGUGGAAUAAUAAACGGUAAGAAGUAUUCUUAGUUUGGCCUCUAAGACUAGCUCAAGUGUUGCAUGAUGGUUCUAUUUUCCUGAUCAUGGGCAUGUCAAUGCCAGCAACUUUGAGGGCACAAUGUUAAGAGAACAUUUGUGUUGAAUCGACCCGGAUUGAUGUUAUGCUAUGAGAUUCAUUCGUCACAAGUUAAUGGUACAUAACACAGAGAUGGUUAACGUUUGCAUGAUUCCUUAGACCAUGAGAGUAUCGAGUUUCUUCAUGCUUGCUUCAUGAACUUUGGGGUUUGUUAAACGUCAUCCGUAAAUGGGUGGCUAUUAUGGCGGCUUACGGGUUCAUGGAAAAGUAUGUCAAGUAACUUGAUAGCUCAAGAUUGGGAUUUGCUCCUCCGACAAUGGAGAGAUAUUCUCGGGCCCUCUCGGUGUUACGGUAUCCAUCAUCGUCUGGCCAGACACAGUGUGAUUUGAUCACAGGGAUGCCGGAACACGGAAACAAGAAAAGAGAACAAAACCAGUAACAAGGUAACUAGCAUAGUGGACAAGUUGUUGAUCCACGGGGAUGCAAGUAAAUCUCACCUCGGGUCUUUGUAACAUAUCGCGAAGCAAGAGGAAUAGCACACGACAAUUGGAGGUUCACUCGAAUAUUCAUUCGUGUGGGUAUAGGGGUCAAUAUGGGUGUCCACGGCUCCGAUGUUGAUCAUUGAUCGAAAAGUGUUCCGGUCAUGUCUAUGCUUCACCGAACCUAUAGGGUCACACGCUUAAGGGUCAUCUAUCUGCUAAAUACUAGACAUGGAGUCUGAGAGAAAUUUGCCGAAAAAGUUUCGGAGACAAUGGAAGAGUUCCGGAGAGAGAAUAGAGAAAUAGUUUCGUAACACCGAAAAGUUGUUUCGUGAUAUACCAUUAAGUCAAAUUGGUUUCGGGACAUGCCUGAUAAUUCUUGCAGGGUGCCAGAAUUAUUCUGGAAACUUCUGGGAAUUUUUGGGGAUAAAAACCAAAAAUGUUUCGGAGCUGCCGGUACCGCUUUGGUUGUUUUUCGCAGAUGAAAUUCACUAAUCUGAAAUUGUUUCAGAACAAAUCCAAAAUCAUUUUAGUGGGUACUGGAAUUAUUCUAAGAUCCACCGAAAUAUUUUCGGAUUUAAUGGACGCGAAAAAUUGUCUUCAUGAAUAGUGAAAACGCAUUCUUGUUUGCUUUUCGCAGAUGAAAAUCACUAAACCAGAAUUAUUUCGGAACGCGUUGAAAAUUGUUUUAGUGGGUACUGGAAAUGUUCUGAGCCCACAUAAAUAUUUUCAAUUCGAACGGACGCUGAAAAUUGUCGUCAUAAAUAGAGUGCUUUUUGCUUGGCUUCUUGGAGAAGCCACCUUGAGGGCCUUUUGGUAUUAUCCCCUUGGCUUCUUGGAGAAGCCACCCUUGGGCUUGGCCUAUAAAUAGGGGUGGAGGGGGCUGGCUAAAGAGACACUCUUUCUCACAUACAAGUGCCAUUGCAAUGAUCUGGCUUCUCUCUCCCUCGCAGCAAAAUAGUUUCGUAGAGCCGAAAGACUGUCUGGGUUCCGACAGGAACUAGUUCUGGACGGCGAAGCCCUGCCGGAUAGGUGACACCGUAUGUGUGCAACUCUAUAGAGAGGUCGUAGUUUCGAUCUUAGUGCUCGAGGGGCUGUUCGAGAGUGCCUCCCAAAGGGCUGUCCAAGUGACGGUCCGAGUUCUAUGGGUCCUCCCGAAGGGCUGUCCGCGACACCGUCCAGGGGGCUGUUCGACUACCUCCCGGAGGGCUGUCUGAGGGGCAGAUGAGGGAGUACAUCCUCGCGGUUGGGAGGUUGUAAAUCCUAGCUGCGGGGAUCUGCACCGACGAUCGUCAUCGACUCUACUUCCGUUGUGCUACGAGUCGGUAACGAAAAUGAUCAAACCUUGUAUGCAGUCUCCAUAGUGGUCCUGGGCUGGUGCGUAGGUCGGAAAUUUUUUGUUUUCUGUCGCGUUCCGUUACAGUGUGGAUUUGGUCCUUGCCGUGGUAUUUCUCCUUCAUGGUCACCUUCUCGAGCUCGUUGGUGAUGUGGUUGGUGGCACCGCUGUCGAUGUACCAGUUGGUGUCGAUUCCAUAGGAGCUAUCUGCAGCCACCGCCAUGUUGUCAUCAUGUUGAGAGGAAUCGUCGUCCUCUUCGUAGCGGUACCAACAAUCUUUUGCUGUGUGCCCCAACUUGCCACAUAUCUGGCACCGUGGGGCAUCAGGACGUGCGCGAGGAUUGCCGCCCCCGCGGCGAGAUCUGUUGCUGGUGGGAGCACGCCCGCUGUUGCGGGAGUUGGAGCCGCCGUCGUUGCCUCCUCCAUUGGACCUCCCCAGGCCACGGGAGAAGCCACCACGUCGAGAGGAGCCACCACGUCCACGAGAGGCCGAGUUCACGGAGGACUUGAAGCCGCCACCGCCGUUCCCGUGGAAGUGCACCAUCCGCUGAUCGAAGUUGGAGAGCAUGGCGAAGAGCUCGACGAUGGUGACGGGGUGACGCGAGCAUCCAGGGCAGAGAUCAGCGGCUGGUAGUCGGCGUUGAGCCCGUGGAUGAUGCAGAAUAUGAGCUCAUCGUCGAGGAUCGCCUUGCCCGCCGCGGCCAACUCGUCGGCAUAGCCGCGCAUGGUGGCAAAGUAGGAGGCGACGGAGUGGUUUCCCUUCUACGCAUUGAUUAGAGAAGUACGGAUGUUGUUGAUGCGACUCACCGAUUGCGAUGAAUACAUGCCAGCGAGCGUCGUCCAGACGCGGUGGUGACCGUGGUCACCGUGAGGAGCACCUCCUUCGUGAGGUUGCUCAACAGGUAGCCAAGGACCUGCUGGUCCUCCCGGACCCAGAUUGGGUGGAGAGGGUUGGGCUUUGAAGUCGCCUUGCCUUCUUUGUCGGUGGUGACGAGGAGCUUUGCCGGCUCCGGCUGGGUGCCGUCGACGUAGCCGAAGACCACGGCGCCACGCAGUUGGGGUAUGAUCUGCGUGCGCCAUAGCACGUAGUUCGUGCGGGAUAGCUUCUCGGCGACCUGCCCAUUGAGACUAGGCUGGAAGGAAGCGCCGGAGGAGGAAGACAUGGUGUGGCUUCGACACAGGUGGUUCUGGUAGCUAGAUGAGUUGAAGAAGAGAGGCUCUGAUUACCAUGUGCGAGCGGUAAACGUCUUGCCCUUGUCGAGGGCGACGUGUUCACAUUAUAUAGCAGGGGAGCCAAAACCCUAGAUGGCUUACAUGCGGUUUGAGAGAGAGAUAAGAGAGAAUCUAGGAUACAUCUUGUGAGAGAAGAAAGGAGGAGAUGGUUACAAGAAUAUCUCAAUACAAACUACCUCCUAGCCUUAUCUCUAAUAAGCAUAGCCUUAUCUCUAAUAUUCUGCAUAUGAUGGUGUUUAACACACAUAACUAUCUAGCCAAACGUGAUUUACUUAACGGAAAGCUCUAAUUAUUACUAAAUGCAUUGCUUCCACCAAAUGUUGUAACACCUUCCCCCAAAUGCACACGGUCAUCUCUUUUUGUUUUUCAAAAUGCAUUGCUUAGGCCGAAGUGUUUGGCGGAAGGUGCAUGCAUUGGCGGAAUAUCGCUUGGAGCACUGAUGAAGAUCUUAUCGAUGUACUACUUACAAUGAGCUUGUACCGAUGUAACUCCUUAUAACAACCUAUGCCUCCGCCAUGAUCGCCCCCCUCCAUGCCAAGAGAGGCAUAGAGAUGGCCAGUGCACAUUACCCGCAUAGUGACGAUGACGAUUCUGGUGUACAGUUGAAAAGGGCAACUCCAGCGCGGAUAUCCAAACAGAAGACACUAGAUGUCCGUGAGAACAUCCCAACAUGUUGGCAGACAAAGGGCAGGGCGCCAGUCAUCCAACUGUAGACACCAAAUGUCCAGGCUAUUUAAAAUGAACCGAACACAAACACAAACAUAAUACAUGCUAAAUGGACGGAAUUUGUUAUGUUUUGAUAUAUUUACAACCAAACAACAAAAUUUAGCAAGUUCAAACUAAUUAUAAUCAAAGCUAAACUAGGCAAGGUACCAGAAGGAGAACUUGUAGGGACCUCCGUCAUCGUCCGCGCCAUCGCUCGAGCCAUUGUUCGUGUCGUCGCCACCGUUGCCGUGCUAGCGGCAGAAGACCCGCCAGGUGUCAUGACAUUCCUGCGCAUCCAUCACGGCGUGCUCACGCUUGAGAUGCUUCACCGCAUCCUUCGUGUUGAAGGCUCGGAUGAGUGCAACGCGCUUGGACUCCGCCAACCCCACUUUGUGGAGCUUGCCCUUGAGGUCGACUGGGGUCUUGGAAUGGUUGACGGCACAAGCCUCUGUGAGCACCCCAGGCGGGGGCAACCUGGCUUUCUGCAACCGCGGCCCUGCAUUUUGUAUUGCACCGCCUUCUUCUUGACGCUGUUCUUGGAUGACGAGGCGCCAACACCUUUGAGGUAGUAGUGGAAGCAUGACUGGUGUGAAGGGGCGGGGACACGAGCUCCUCCUUCUUGACAACAGGGAGCACCGGGCACCACUAGUUGCCUAGCUGGUGAUGCGGCGGGGAGGGGGGCUUCUCCUUCCAUGACAUUCGAUCUAGACGCCACAGUUGCGCAGAGGGCACAACGGCUCGGCCUUCACGCGAUGUCCGAUUUGGCCGCCGGGGUGGCAAGGAGGGGAGGGUAGCGCCUGCCCCCGGUCGAGCAACAACCGAUGCAACGCCUCCUCCAUCUACAUCGUGAAGUCGUCAUCCGUCUGCGCGGCUGCAACGAGUAGGGGCGGCUUUUGCUCCUCCUCCUUGUCUGAGAAGAUUUGUGCCGUGGACGACCGGAGGUGGUCGGUGCUGUGGACGACAAGGCGCCUCCCAACGACCGCGGGCGACGGUGCAAACUAGACCCAAAGCUCCCCCGUCCCACGGAGCCGGUCCCCUGGCGCGGUGGCGGCUGGUCGAAGCGGUAGGUCCCCAGCAGCCACCACACCUUGGUCUUCUCUGUGCCAGACUUCUUGCCCAUCGCGGCAGAGGUGUUUUCGACAUACGGCGACUUUGGGAGAGGAGUGAAUAAGUGUAGGGUUUGUGUCCGAGGUUGACCGACUUUAAUAGUGGGGGCAGGCCCGACGAAGUUUCAAUGUAGCGUAGUAGGCUUCUCGGUCACCGUGCUUGGUGUGAAUGCCGGUAGAGGGAACAACCAGUCAGCUGGUAUGAAUGCAGGUAGGUCGUCGUCCGGUCAUGUUCGCUCUAACCGGAUUGAAUACAACACAAAGAGAGGGUUCUAGAGUGAGUGGACACGGCAGGGGCAGGGGUUUUGGGUGGGUGGGUGGUGUCAAUGUACGACGUGACUGACGUUUGAACUCCCAAAUCUCCCCUAUUUUGAUACCGUUUUAAGAGAUUUUUUAUGACCGGACCAGUCUGAACAUUUUUUAUAGUCACGUUGAAUGGCUAAAAAUGUCCGGACCGUGUGGUCUAGACAUUUGCAACCAAUUAGGUUGUUGUGCAAAGCAUCCUAGUCUCGCCACAUAUGGCUCGAUGGAAGUGAAUAUGUGGAGGGUCCAGAAAUGCGGGUGAGCAAAACAUUGGUUCUAAGGGCAAAACAUAGUUUUUUCUAAUGAAACUUUAUAAGCAGGUAAUACUAAAAGACACCAUUUUUUUAUUCGCAAAAAAGACACUAUUUUUUAUUAAAAAAUAAAUCAGUUUGUUUAUUUAUCUUUACAAUCUUAUUACACUGUUCAAAACGAGAGCACACGAAGGAACGAGCACGAGCUCAUAUUUCUCCAAUGCACCAUUUUUUUUGAACGUCAAUAACGGCCGAACGUUCGUUCUCGAGAACCAUGUGCCCGAACGUAUUGUUCGGCGGGCGACUAGGUACCGACCGAACGAUUUCGUUCCAUCUGGAGAACCUCCCAGCCCGAACUACCCGUUCGAGAAAACUUAGCGCUAAGGAAAAGGAAAUAUGGGCCAAAAAUAGGCCCAUAUGUGAGCACAAGUAGAAGGACUUUAUAAAGGCUGAAAAGGCAUAAAAAGGACUAGAAGGAAAAAUUGCCCACGUGACUAUAUUACAGCCAUUUACUAAAAUAAUACCCCUCAAUUUGUUUUUACUAAAACAUGAUACUUAUAUAACACAUGAAAAUUCCAAAAAAUUGCGAUUCGAGUUUGAUCAAACUAUUUCAUAAUUUGGCAUGAUAUUAUUAUUUUUACAAUGGCAAGGUUUACAACAAAAAUGAUUUCUAAUACAGCAUGGCAAAAAAUAAAAAAUUGCCAAGGAAAAAGUUAUGUUCAGAAAUAUGACAUGGCAAAAAUUACCAGGAAAAAAAUAGAAUGCACAAAAUACAAACAACCAAAUGGAACAUAUGAAUUUUAGUUGCCAUGUUCAUAUGUAGAGUGAAUAGUUGAAGCAGAAAAGUAUGGACAAGAAACUUGCCAUGACAGAUUCAUAAAAAAAAUUGCCAUAUUUAAUAUGGAAAAAAUGUCAUGUACGAAGAAGUAAAACAACAAAAUUGCAAUGGCAAAUUCAUAUCAAAACUUGCCAUGCUAAUUUAAUUGAAUUUGCCAUGUUCUAUAUGAGAAAAAUGCCAUCUUUGUAAAAGCAAACACAAAUUAUGAAUAAAAAUGAUUGCCAUGGCGAAUUCAUAUCGAAAAUAGCCAUGGUAUUUCAAUUAAAUUUGCCAUGUUCUAUAUGAGAAAAAUGUCAUGUAUGUAAAGUAAGACUCAACUUAUGAACAAAAUUGCCAUGGAAAAUUCAUGUCAAAAACUUGCCAUGCUAUUUUAAUUAAAUUUGCCAUGUUCUGUUUGAGAAAAAUGCCAUCUUUUUUUACCAUGAAAAAUGCCAUAUUUGUAAAGCAAACACAAAUUAUGUACAAAAAAUUGCCAUGGCAAAUUCAUAUCAAAAAUUGCCAUGGUAAUUAAUAAAAAAUUGCCAUGUUUUGUAUUGGAAAAAAUGUCAUGUACGAAAAAGUAAAACUCAACUUAUGAACAAAAUUGCCAUGGCAAAUUCAUAUCAAAACUUGCCAUGCUAUUUUAAUUAAAUUUUUUAUGUUCUAUAUGAGAAAAAUGCCAUAUUUGUAAAGCAAACACAAAUUAUGAACAAAAAAUUGUCAUGGCAAAUUCAUAUCAAAAAUGGCCAUGGUAUUUUAAUUAAAUUUGCCAUGUUCUAUAUGAGAAAAAAAUCAUGUAUGUAAAGCAAACACAAGUUAUGAACAAAAUUUGCCAUGAAAGAUGUAUGCUAUAAAUUAGCAUGGUCUUUUAAUUAUAGAUGUCAUGCUUUUUGUUAGGAAAAAUGCCAUGUAUGUGUUCAUGUAGAGAAAAAUGUCAUGACCCAAUAACUAUAUUUGCCAUGGGGAGGGGUCGCCCCGAACGAAUUGUUCGCGCUGGACAGGGGAACGACCGAACGAUUUUGUUCGGCCCAGGAGCUCUCUCAGCCCGAACACUUCUAGAAACUCAUCACUUAUCACGAAUGCAACAAAAAGCCUAACAAAGACGCCAGUGUGGGCCUGUUGCACGAGAGACAUAAGAAAAACAGGCCCAUUUAGAUACUGAAAUACGAAAAAAAAACCCAGAAAAACUUUCUAAGAAAAGUUACCAUGUUUUGGCACAUACUAAAGUUUGCCAUGGCAAGUUGGAAAGUUUGCCAUGUUUUUGAAGAUUUUAAAAUGCCAUGGUAUAUUAUUCAUAUUUUUGAACAUCUAGAAAAAUGUUGCCAUGUUUUCUAACAUCGUAAGUUGCCAUGGCAAAGUUUGCCAUGUUUUUCAACAACUAUAACUUUGCCAUGACAAGUUUACAUGUUUUUCAACAUGUUAAUUAAAGAAGUUUGCCAUGGCAUAAAAUGGAGUUAAAUUUGCCAUGUCAAAAAGGGAGUAAAAAUUUGCCGUGGCAAAAAUAGUUUAAUUUUUUGCCAUGGCAAAAAGUAGUAGUUUUUUCCAUGGAAAUAAAUUAAAAAUUGACAUGGCCACACAAGUAUAUUUAAAAUGCUACAUAGUAAAAUUUGGCAUGUUCUAUAAAUUUAAAUUUGCCAUAAUAUUUGAAUUAAGAUUGACAUGCUCUCUACAAUAAAUUUGCAAUGGCAACUUUAACUAAAAAUUGCCAUGGCGACUUAACCAAAAAAUUUCCUUGUGAAAAUAAACGUAUUUUUGACAUGACAAAAAUGGAGUUAAACUUGCCAUGCCAAAAAUGGAGUAAAAAUUUGCCAUGGCAAAAAUGGGUUGAUUUUUGCCAUGGCAAAAGGGGAGUAGUUUUGUCAUGGAAAUAAAUUGAAAAAUGCCAUGGCUAUACAAAUAUAUGUACUAUGCUACAUAGUUAAAAUUGCCUUGUUCUGAAAAAUGUAAAUUUGCCAUCAUAUUUAAAACAAAAACUUGCCAUGCUCUUUACAAUAAAUUUGCCAAGGUAUCUUAAACUAAAAGUUGCCAUGGCAACUUAAACUAAAAUUUGUCGUGUGAAUAAAAGUAUUUUUGAUAAACUUGUGAAUUUCUGAAAUUUGCCAUAUGAUUUUUCUAAUAAUUGCCACAACAUUUUAGUAAAAAAAUGCCAUGCUUUUGUAGCGUUUAUCUCUUACUUAUGUCGUGUAACAAACAAACUAACAAGUUCAGAAGUUUGCACGGAAAAAAAUGAUGCAUCUAACAAAAACACGGAGACGCACAUGCCACAAACACAACUUGUUUGGUCAGUUUUGUUUGCUGCUAAAAGAAGCAACAUAUUCUGAUUGCAAAUUAUGACAACAUGGCAACUAGUUUCAGCCAGAAAAUGUAGUAUCAAGGAGAGUGGGGAGUGCUGAUGCAUCACGGAAAACAUUGAGAGGGAAAAAAUGCUAGAGGGUGAGAAUCAGGGGUUACUGAUGAAUUGUCUCUGGCUGGCGCCCAUGACACUGCUAAAAAUCGGUGUCCUGCAGAGCGAGGUAGGCAAAAUCGAUGGCGAGCCCAGCCCUCUCCCUGGCUUGCACCACCCCGCAGCCCUGCCUAGCCAGCAAGGUCGCAACCAUUUCGAGCUCGAUGCGCUGCGACUUGAGCAAGCGGGAGGGGGAGGGGGCAUCCCGUCCUCGACGCGGCCGACAACGCGCUCGCCGCCGCCGCCUGCGUCGGCUCUCGCCGGACAAGCGACAACCUCGCCUCCUGCGCGCGCUUCUCCUGAAUCGAGGUGCGCCUCCGCGCCCUGCCGUCGACGCCGGCGCCUCCUCAGUGCGGUGCUCUUCUCCCCGGCCACGAUCCGGCCCUGGCCACCACGACCACUCCUGCUGCUCACAAAUAGUUGCGCCCCCACCACCACCUCCCCGCGGUACGGACGCGCCACCACCUGCCAACCAGAGUUGACCAGGCGGAGUCCCGACGAUGUGGCCGCCGAUGUUGCGGCACGGCAGCAAACGCGCGCGAUGGCGAGGAGACGAGGAUAGGAUACGGCGGCGCCGACGAGCUUGGGACGGCGGUGCCGCGAUGGGGAGCUGGGGGCAUGAAGCGGAUGGGAGACGGUGGGAUGGGAAUGGAGAGCGAUGGGACAGAGAAGGGGAUGAGUGGUGCGAGCAUCUAGUUCGUUCGGGACGAUUUCUGUUUUCUCCUAAUGAUAUCGAUCGCUGACGUGGCUCUGGUCCCCUGCUUUAAGAUGCGUAAUCAAAUCCAGGAGUGGAAAGGACGUUCGGACCGAAACAACAAAACGCAGCCCGUUCGGGAGUUAUCAAUUCCGUUUUUUUCUUCUUAGCAGCUCAGCAAGCGCGCACACGUGCGGCAACACGAACUCGAGCUCCCCACUUUUCCCCACCCGAAACCCUCGCCUCCGCCGCCGCACCAUGCCGCCGCCGCCGGUGCUGAUGGACGAGCUCGUGGAGGAGGUCCUCCUCCGCCUCCCGCCGGACGAUCCCGCCUCGCUCUUCCGCGCCUCCGCCGUCUGCAAGCCCUGGCGCAUCAUCCUCGCCGGCCCGCGCUUCCGCCGCCGCUACCGCGAGUUCCACGGAACACCUCCCAUCCUGGGACUCUUCCAGCAGGGCGGCCGCUUCGUCCCCGCCUCCGCCCUCGUCCCUGCCCACCCCGGCCUCCCCAGCUGGGUUGCCAUGGACUGCCGCCAUGGCCGCGCCCUCUUCGCCCACCUCGGGAUCACCCUUGAACUCGUCGUCUUGGACCCUGUGACGGGCCACCAGCACAGGGUGACCUCGUCCUAUCACUAUCCGGUCACCGUCGGUGCGGCGGUGCUCUGUGCCGCGCAAGGCUGCGACCACCACGGUUGCCAGGGAGGGCAUUUCCAUCUGGCCUUUGUGUCCACCGACCAGGUCGGAACCAUAUCGGCCUGGCUGUACUCAUCUGAGACUGCCGAGUGGAGUAAGUUCACCUCUCUUCACCACUCAAAUGCUCACCACUCAAAUGCUUUGCUUCAAACAUUUAGUGAGGCUAGUGUCCUUGUGGGCGAGGCGCUCUACUUCAACAUGGGUUACAUUGUGGAGUGCCAACUUGGUACACUCCGCAUAUCAAUGUUCAAGAAGCCGAUCGACGGCAAGGGGUGUCUCAUGACGGCGGAAGACGGCACGCUGGGAUUUGCUGCCGUGGUGGAUGUCGCAAAUCUAACCCUUUGGUCAAUGGAGACCGGACCCGAGGGAGCCACUGGAUGGGCGAAACUCAGGGUAAUUGAUCUUAAGGCGCUGCUCCCUGAUGGAUCCUUCUUGAUCCGAGCACCUGAAGAUGGGAUUUGGAGCAUCACAAAGGUUAUCCCAGCACCUAAAGCUGGGAUUAUUGGCAUUGCGGAGGGUACCCAAGUCAUAUUUGUGAGCACAUAUGCUGGUUCCUACAUGGUCGAUCUCAAGUCUCGACAAGUCAGGAAGGUGUCUCGUCCGGGCAAAAUUAUCUUUCCCUACAUGAGCUUCUACCUCCCAGGUACUAUUGCUUAUGCCCAUAUAUAUAACCUUGUACAAUCUGUCAGUGGCACUUAGCAACAUGGCAUAAAAAUAUGGUUCUUAGCAAGAAACUUUACACAUUGAGCUGAACAUAUGUGCUAAAGAAAGAGAGGUGUUCCUCUUGAGUACAAGUCCAUAUAUCUUAAUGAUUCUAUGAGCGCCUGUUUUUUUGAGGAACUUGUCGGUCCUUCUGAUUGGUGAUAAGCAAAAUGUACAUUGAGCUGAACAUGAUUCACCAAUUGAUUGAUUUUACAUUCCAGUUUCUCUCAUUUCUGCAGCAAUGGAAGCAGCUUCUACGGGCCAGGGGCAGUGAGCUGGUGUUCAAGUGUUUGCCAAGCUCUAGUUGCUGGUGCAUCUGGAUCAAGUGAGUGUGGCUCUGGAUCUGUAGGAAGUAGUUGUUCUGUAGUAACUUUGUAUAGGCCGUGUUAAGGUAGGACCAAUGCUGCCGGUCUUAGUAUUGGUGUAUGGAACUUCGUUUAGGAAGCUGUUCCGUAGUCAAAACUGAUCAGGUUAGUUGUAAUCACCAUGCUCAGAUUUAGUUCAUUUUGAACUAACCUCCUGUUUUUUGCGGGCUUAUGCGGGAUGAGCUUUGCCUGUGUGCUUCAUUUUGAACUACCUUUGCUUCUAUGCUUGCAGUUUGUAGGAACUUUGUUUGGAAGUCGUUGCUUUCAAUGCUUGCAGUAUGUAGGAACUCUGUUUAAGAGGUUGUUGCUUCCGUGCUCGCAAUUUGUAAAGAUUUCUAAGUUCAGUCAGUUUGUGAUGUUGUUGAGAAUAGUGGCACGAGCACAUUUGAACAAUCAGACUUGCAGGUGGAAUCGACAAUGCACAGGAGCAGCUCUGAACAAACGAAAUGAUUUACUCGAAACAUCUAAUAUGUAUAUAUAAGAACAGCUGGUAUACAAGUGAGAUCAGCAGUGCUGUUAGUUCCUAGGUCAAAAACAAUUGACACAUGUAUAUGGUGUCAGCAUCUAGCUAGUGUCAGAAUUCAGUAGCUGAAUUAACCAGCCACUGAUCAAAAGAAUGAGCGAAUUACGCAAGCUAAUUCUCCAGAGAGCCUCCAAAUCAAGAUCAAACUCGAACUCAUCCUUGCUGUUUGGUUCUCCAGAGAGCCGGGUGCCGCUUUUCAAUUACCAGGCAGUCUCAUUGUCAUCUGGCGUUGCAGCAUUGAGCGCUCCCGGACUGCAGCUUCCUCCAGAGGCAGAUCAUGUGCUGCGGCGACUGGUAGUGCGCGGUGUAGUAGCCGUCGAAGCAGCCGGCCUGGAAGAACUUGACGUCGUGCGAAUACUCCACUGGCUGGCGAGUCUUGCUGAACUUCUGAACCCACAUGCCCAUGCUCACGUCUUCCAUCUUGAACAGCUGCAACAAUCAGGGGAAGCACAGCAGUUUGUUAGCCUUUAGACACACAGACACAAAUGCUUCGAUUUUUACUUGCUUACUGACAAGGAUGGUGGUAAUGACUUACUCUCAGUUUCUGGUUGUCAAACUCGGAUACGAUGUACUCAGCGAUGUCUGAUGAAAUCACAUAGCCCGGCCCGUUUGCGUAAGGUGGGUAUACUUCCUCUUCCCAUUCCUGAAAAAGGGGCAGGAAAUUUACAUCACACUCAUGUAUGCAGGGUAAAAUAUAUCACUACCAGUGCCAGAACUUUGCCAGGAAGAUGAUACUCUGUUUUUUUCUAAAAUAAAUAUGAUACUUUAAUACCACUAGUAGGCAUGAUAAACACAACACCCUGUGUUUAGAAGACUGAUCAUUAAAUUUGCAAUCAUAAUCAUUGUUCCAGCUCGAGUAAAACCCAUGCUUGCUUUAGGAAAGGCAGAGGCUAGCAUGAACGCACUAAACAGAGUACUACUAAAACAUGAGACUGGACAGGGGAACUAACAGAUAUGACCCGUAAAGCAUUAAUAUGCUGAAUAAUGGAGGUCAAGUCACACCAAUGAAGGAAUUUGCAUGGCCCAAGUGCCCAACACACAAGGACUUUUCAGUUUUUUUAUUAAAAGGAAAAGCAUGCUACAAGUAAUUGCAAAGGAAGCUGCAUCGUAUCAUACCUCAUACGUUACAGCCCACUUUCCAGAUCGCAAAGGUCUGUGGUAAUAGUUUAUGUUUCCCACAUACAUGCUCCCCCCAUUCUUUACUUUCUUCACUUGAUCCAACACCGCGUCAAUUCUAACAAAUGUGUCGUCGUCACACUUCAUUACGUAUUUCGCUUGCACAACUCGCACCUAUAAAAUAGAAAAAGUCAGAAUGAGCAUUUUUGUCGAUGGAGCUGAAGCAUGAUCCAAGAACACUAAUUUUUCUUACCCCAUACUCAGCAAUGGCAAUAGUCUUUAAAACAACGAGGUCAUAGCUAUCCAUGAAAGGGACCAGAACAAUGUCACCAAAGAACUCAGCCUCCUUCUUCAGCUCCUCGUUGACCUCUUUUUUCCCAUUCUGUAAACAAGUCUUCUAUUAGAGUUUGCACAAGUCAGCAAUAUAACUGUUAAGGUGUAGCAAUCAAUCAUCCACAGGUGCUUACCAGAGCGACGAAGAACCGGGCAACACUGUUAGACGAUCUCCUUGUGGCAAUCAUCCAUGACUUGCGAACGGCCAUCCGCUCGGCGAAAUGGUUGGCUGCAGAAAGGAUGCCGAUGAACAGCUCGACAGGUUCAGUCGGCAGAGGCGAGGCCUUCCACUGUUCAGACAUUUCGAGGUAUCGCUGUGGGUCGAAGCUAGGGUGUGAUUUGGGCAGAUGGGCUGCAGAAAUCGACUCGAUGUCAAGGUCCCCGUUCAACGACAGGCCCGUCGCGUCCUCGAGGUUGUAACCCUGUUAGUUAAAUCAACAGAUUGACAGCGCAUCAUCAGAUAACAAGUUCUCCAUCCUUGAUAUACAGUAUUAUGUAAGUAACCAACGAGCAAUCUCUGCAGAGGCAUGGCAAAAAUCUUACAGUGCGGUAAGGGAAGGAUGCAACAUGUUGCCCGUCGACAUUGACAUGGUAGCCUUCGAGACCGGCUCUGAUGGUUAGGACAAAGAGCUUGCCCUCUGCAAACGGGUACGCCUGUUGGACAGACACCUUGUCUGGCUCCGGUUUGCCGAUCAAAGUGUUGAGCAGCCAUUUUAUGUUUGACGAUUCCUCUGUCUUGGCGCCAUCAUCCCGAGUCCAUUCCUCACACUUGAUUUCGCCAUCAACUGAAAGAUUAAAACCAGCAUGUUAUGAUUCACAGCGACAUCAAGCAAAUUCAGGUGAUGCAAAUUGUUUUUGUUUUAACGAACAAAUAAGAUUCCAAAUUGGAUAGUACUACUCUGCAAUCGAAGGAGCGUAUUCAAUUUCCUAGCGUACGAUGGGAGAAAAGUAGAAUUUAGAGUCUGCAAUCGACGGAGCUCACCUCUGUUGUCGUCGGGCCGCGACGCCGGGCCCUCGCAGCGCUGCGGCAGCGCCCACUGCAUGCGGUAGCAGGUGUUGAGCUCGAUGACGGGGCGGCCGGUGAAGUCCCCGGCGAGCCUGGGGUUGAAGUGCAGUAUCCUGGGCGGCUCCUCCCCCUGCACGGCCUUGGUGCCCAGCAGCUCCACCAUGAACUGCGACGACGCCGCCCCCUCCCUCCUCCUCGGCCGGGCCACCACGGUCACCCGCGAGCCAACGGCCAUCCCGCACGGCAGCUCGACGGCCACCGGGGUGCUGGCGAGCCGGUCGCGGGGCACGGAGACUGCGGCGGGGCAGGACGCGGGGGCGGACGGGGAGGGGGAGGGGGAUGAGGAGGCGGAGGGGGAGAGGAGGUGGGGCAGGAGGGGAGCCGCGGCGGCGAAGGCGGAGGAGGCGGCGGCGUCGAUGGAGGAGGCGGAGGAGGGGUUUGCGCGGACGCGGAUGGAGGAGAGCGCGAGGCGGGCGCAGCGGGGUGGGUCGGGGGUCGGGAAGGUGCGCGUGUGGGGCCGGAGCGGCGCGGAUGUGGUGAUGGAGGAGGAGGAGCGGGCCUCGAGCUCGCGGCGGCGCGGGCGGUCGGCGGUGGCGACGGGCGCGACGGAGACGGAGGGCAGCUCGAGGAAGAGGAGGAAGCAGAGGUACCCCGCCGCCGCGAGCAUCAGCGCCAGCCGGCACGCGCGCUUGGGCGGCAUGGCGAUGGCGGUUCGCGUGGGCGUGGUGGCGGUCAGAGGAGGAGGGAGGUGGGAGUAGCCGUUCCGGAAUGGGUCCGCGGCCGGGGCGGGGCGGGUUUAUUGCGGACGGACGGAAGGAAGCGGGGGAGGAGUGCGGUGGCCGCGGGCGCGGGUCGUGUUUAAACUUUAAAGGCCGGGCCGGACCGGACCGUUGCGCCGGCGGGGCGGCGGUGGUGGGGAUUCUGAGAGCGGCUGACAGCGCGCAACGGCUUGUUUCUGCGCCGUUUUGGCUGUAUGUAUGCCUGAACCGGAGUAGGCUCGUGCCAAAAAAAAAAGGAGGAGAAAGGCAGGAAGAAUGCGUGCGUGUGUGUCCAUUUACACGUGACGUGCGCGCGCGCGCACACACACAUAGGGCCUGCACGUGCGCUCUUUUGUGCGUCUGCUUGUUCUUUUGCUCCUGCGUCCACGGGUUGAUUACUUUUUUUUUGCGCCCACGGGACUGAUUUAUCUUGGCCUCGAAGGAAAGGUGGCUGCCUUUGUGUUUGCGGCAUGGCGUGGCGGCGUGGCCGUCCGUCCGUCCGUCGAUGGUUGACGACGCGGCGACAGAAGGAAAAGGGAGGGGUCGGCGGGCCGAACCCGGACGGAUGCGCACCACCGACGCGGAACGCACUGCUGGAUGUGGCUGGGUCGUUGUGUUGCGUCGGGUCGGGGCCGCGUGUGGAGGCGGCGACUCACGCUGUGGCGUGUGGUGGACCGGGCUGGGCUGGGUAGUGGCCGGCCGGUAGGUUGGUUUGGUUUGAACUCAACUCAACUCAACGCUCAACGCGGCGGGCGGGCGGAGUCAGCUGCGCAGGUACGACUCGGCUCCUCCCAGUCCCAGAGAGAGACUGGUGGAAGGAAGAGUGGUCGUCCAGCCAGGGCCGGCCCUGAGGGGGGGCAGGGGAGGCGGCCGCCCCGGGCCCCCGAUAUCUUGGGGCCCCUCCUAUCUGGCCAAGUUUAACAUAUGUAAGUUAAGUAAUCUGGGCCUUGCUGGGUGAGGAGAAGAAAAAGGCAAAGUGGGCUUAGUAGAACCGUGCAAGUACGUGCUUUGGCAGCCUACGACACGAGUACUUUGACCAUCCGAUGGAUCUAGGUUUGCGUAUGGAUUGCCUUGGGGCCCUCGUCUCCAUCUUCACUAAUCGCCUGCGCCACCGAGCGCUGAGUGCUGGCCGCCGGCCGCCGGCCGCCAGCGGACGCAGAAUGCCCACCGAGCACAGGCUAUCUCGGUCCUUGCCAUACACACCAUCGUUGAUUUCAAAUAAGGUAGCUUAUUAUGUCUUGGUGAUUUUGGCUUAUCUUCUGCCCUAGAUAUUUGCCAUACGACCUUGUGUUAAGUUUUUAAUUUGUACUUGUCUCUUUUAUAUUUUAGAUCUACUAUAUCCGGUGGUGAGAAAAAAGAGAUGAGAAAAUGAUUAGAUGAGUUGAUAGUAUCACAGAGAUCGUUCUGGAUGAGCAAACUAACGCUAAUCAAGAGAUGAUGAACAUACAGAAGUCAACAUUGACAUCGCAGAAUGUUGGAAGAAAAUUCUAAGGUAAUAUUGUAAAUGUUUUUGGUAACAUUUCAUAUAUGAAGUAAAUAUUCCAUAGACUUAUUAUUCCAUCCAUCUCUAUAUCUAACAAGAAUGAAGGUCAUGUGUUACUUUUGUCCUUAGUCCAACCUUCCUACAUCCUUCUCUUGGUUUUGUUUAUCUCUCUCUCAUCUUUGAUUUUUCCCGAUUAAUUUUGCCAAAAAACCCUCAAUUGUCCCAAUGUAUUAUUAACUUAUUAUUAUUAACAUUUCUACUAUUUAUAAAGAACACAACGUUCAGUCUUAAGUUUGUCCUUUGUCCAACCUCCCUAUGCCUCCUCCUAAUUUUCAUUUUUUUUUUCAUAUUUGGUUUCGUCCCACAAAAUUUUCUUAAAACCUCCUUAACUAACCUAUGUUUUACUGACCUACUAUUUGGUAAACUAAUUAGUGUCUUCGUUGCAAUGCACAAAAAAAUAUCUAGUAUGCUAAUAGAAGGGCCCCGGUUUUUACUUUCGCCCCGGGCCCCCGAAUUCUCAGGACCGGCCCUGCGUCCAGCCAUCCAUCCAUCCAUCUAGGCGUAUCGUGUACGGUCAAUGUGUGCCGUGCAUCUGUCUGUCUCGCUGUUUCUCUUCGUGCUCGACGAACCUUCCCGCCCACCCGCCAUAUGGACCGGUCAGGCGGUCAGGCUUGUUUCUCUUCCUGCUUGGGUCGGUGCGCUACGCCAAGGACGCGGCCAAACGCGCGCGGCGCGGACCCGGCCAGCCAUUUGCCGAUGACGACGCCCGAUGUCUACGUACAGUACGUGCGUGCGUUGCGACGGCUGGUGCAAACAGACGUCGCCAUCGCCCAACCCAGCGCGCCUCACGAGCAGAUCCAUAUUCUCCACUAGCCUGACCCUCCAGCGACAUAUACGUACGAACGGACGGCACGUAACGCGUGUGCCCAUGUCCUCCCAUGGACUGCUCGUCAGGGACACAUGCACCCGUUUUUCUAUUCCCCUUCCCCCUCUCCAGCCACACCCACCCUCGCCCCGCCCUAGCCGUCGCCACCGCCCCAAUUUUUCUCGGCCAUGCGAUCUCCAGCAUGGCCGCAAAGCCCAGGCCCUCCCCUUCGGAGCCCCCUUCCUCGACGCCCGGGCCUGUACAACCCCGCCCGCCUUAUAUUUAGUGCAUUCGGCGGCCGAAUUUGGAGCGGACCUACCCCGGUUUGAGCUCACCCCGGUUGCCGGAGGGCACGCACUGCAAUGGACUGGUCGGGUACUAGACCACAAAGCCCUGGCAAGGCCCUCAGGCCGCAUGCAGGUACUGAAUCCGCCCCUAGCCGUUCGGAUCGAACCCGUCGCUAGUUUGCCGGCAAAUACAUGAACGGCCGUCGUCCGGGCUCGGUACUGGCCCAAAGGCUCGUCGGCGCACCGUUGCCGCUCAUAAAAUGCGACGACUAUCCACGGAAGGUCUUGCGCCGCGUGUCUACAACGCCGAAACAUCCUAGAUGUGUGUUUCAUCGAUCGAGUGCGCAAACGAUGGGGUAUGUGCUAGUUUAGCUAUGGUUGUGCUUUCGGAUUCGGCUCGUUUUGCUUAAACUCAUAUGUGUAUUGUGUAGGAUAGAUGCAACUUUUGGUAUUGAGAAGACGAAUACAUCGAUCUAUUGACAGAGCGCAAUUUAAUAGAUGUUCAUGCACUUGUUGUUAGAAUAGAGGCUAGAGAUGAGACUAGAUGCGAAGAAGCAACGUCUACUUCUUUAGACUUGAAGAAGAAAGAAGCACACAAGAUCGAGACUCCGCAGAUCAACAAUGAAUGCAUCGAGAAGGCACCAAUCCAACUAUCGGGAGCGGUUAUGGAAGUUGGAUAUCUUCUAAAAUAUCUUCUUGUGGUUCUUAUUUUUUCUUUGGUCUUGAUAUCCUAGUCAAGAUUUGGUGAUGUGCUCAAUGUAUCAAUAAUCAAUGACGAAAAUAAAGAUAUGUGUUGCAAAAAAAUGUAUGCGGCCAAAAUGCGGCCGCGCGUUGGGGGCACGACUGUCGCAUCCAGAAAUCCGGAUGGACACUGCUCCAUUGCCACUCCCAAGCGGACGAAAAGCGAACGAAAUGGACGUCCAUUUGGGGUCGUGCGUUGGAGUUGCCAUAGGAGCAUCUUCAACCACAAUAUACAAAUUUGGCCCCUCAAACGCCCGCGGACUCGCCCUGUCAGCAUCCGGGCAUGUCCGCUUUGACUCCCUAUUUUUCUGUUCACGCAACCAUGUCCAUCAAAAUUUUCUUAUAUGUCUGGUCACAUGCAUGUAAUUGCUGGAGAAGGAGAGAGAGAGAGAGAACAAAAAGAAAUAAUAAAGUAAGAAAAAAUGCUAUAUGGGGGGGGGGGUGCUAAUCCUAUGUGGCGGACGCAGGACCACUGACCGGGCACACCCGUACACUUCUCAUAUCAUGCUAUAGUUUUUUUGAGGCAAUCAUAUCAUGCUAUAUAUGAGAUGAAUAUGAGGGCCGCCGGACAGUCCGAGCAUUUAAGAAGGCUUUAAGGGGUCCGGUUGGGUCAACUUUUUAUUUUUCUCUUCUGUUCGGUCAAUGGUUCCCGCCCCGCCUGGUCAAUUUGAGGAGUCCGGGGGNNNNNNNNNNNNNNNNNNNNNNNNNNNNNNNNNNNNNNNNNNNNNNNNNNNNNNNNNNNNNNNNNNNNNNNNNNNNNNNNNNNNNNNNNNNNNNNNNNNNNNNNNNNNNNNNNNNNNNNNNNNNNNNNNNNNNNNNNNNNNNNNNNNNNNNNNNNNNNNNNNNNNNNNNNNNNNNNNNNNNNNNNNNNNNNNNNNNNNNNNNNNNNNNNNNNNNNNNNNNNNNNNNNNNNNNNNNNNNNNNNNNNNNNNNNNNNNNNNNNNNNNNNNNNNNNNNNNNNNNNNNNNNNNNNNNNNNNNNNNNNNNNNNNNNNNNNNNNNNNNNNNNNNNNNNNNNNNNNNNNNNNNNNNNNNNNNNNNNNNNNNNNNNNNNNNNNNNNNNNNNNNNNNNNNNNNNNNNNNNNNNNNNNNNNNNNNNNNNNNNNNNNNNNNNNNNNNNNNNNNNNNNNNNNNNNNNNNNNNNNNNNNNNNNNNNNNNNNNNNNNNNNNNNNNNNNNNNNNNNNNNNNNNNNNNNNNNNNNNNNNNNNNNNNNNNNNNNNNNNNNNNNNNNNNNNNNNNNNNNNNNNNNNNNNNNNNNNNNNNNNNNNNNNNNNNNNNNNNNNNNNNNNNNNNNNNNNNNNNNNNNNNNNNNNNNNNNNNNNNNNNNNNNNNNNNNNNNNNNNNNNNNNNNNNNNNNNNNNNNNNNNNNNNNNNNNNNNNNNNNNNNNNNNNNNNNNNNNNNNNNNNNNNNNNNNNNNNNNNNNNNNNNNNNNNNNNNNNNNNNNNNNNNNNNNNNNNNNNNNNNNNNNNNNNNNNNNNNNNNNNNNNNNNNNNNNNNNNNNNNNNNNNNNNNNNNNNNNNNNNNNNNNNNNNNNNNNNNNNNNNNNNNNNNNNNNNNNNNNNNNNNNNNNNNNNNNNNNNNNNNNNNNNNNNNNNNNNNNNNNNNNNNNNNNNNNNNNNNNNNNNNNNNNNNNNNNNNNNNNNNNNNNNNNNNNNNNNNNNNNNNNNNNNNNNNNNNNNNNNNNNNNNNNNNNNNNNNNNNNNNNNNNNNNNNNNNNNNNNNNNNNNNNNNNNNNNNNNNNNNNNNNNNNNNNNNNNNNNNNNNNNNNNNNNNNNNNNNNNNNNNNNNNNCGAGGACUGCGGCGUACCUGCAGCGGCCUCACGCGCGUUGAGGGGAGGCGGGGGGCGACCGGAAUGGCGGCGGCCGGCGGCUCGGGUGGGCGUGGGCGGGAGGUUGGGGACGGGGAAAACUCCCUCCCGCGCUCAGGCGGAACACGAAUGCGGGGGGCGACCGGAAUGGCGGCGGCCGGCGGCUCGGGUGGGCGCGGGCGGGAGGUUGGGGACGGGGAAAACUCUCUCCCGCGCUCAGUCGGAACACGGAUGCGGGUUGGGGUAGUUUUCGCCCCCCAACCCUCACUUCUACAGGUUGGGAAGGGGUUUGAGGGUUGGACCCUUAAAUUUUUUUAAGGGUUUGAGGGUUAAGGGGUUCUAGUCUACGCGUUUUUUCGCUCGCAAACUGUAAAAACCCGGUUAUUUAUAAGGGUUUGAGGGUUUGAGGGUACUACUAGAGAUGCUCUUACUUCUCGUUUCGACCGCCUCUAGGCGCGCAAGGAUGCCAAAGCCAUCUUGAAAAUUAGGCACCCCUUUCAGUGUACACUUUUAUUUAUCAGACUUGAGUAAAAGAAAAGAAUCUGGACGGGCGGAUUGCCUUGCCAAGAAAGAGCUCCCCCACAAUGCAAAAUGGGCAUUACUCUGGGUCGACGCAUCAACCGAAAGUUUCAGCCGGUCAGGUCAGACCAGUUGUAGCAAAAAUGUAGCAUCGCCGUCGCUGGAGGANNNNNNNNNNNNNNNNNNNNNNNNNNNNNNNNNNNNNNNNNNNNNNNNNNNNNNNNNNNNNNNNNNNNNNNNNNNNNNNNNNNNNCGGUGGAGGCGCGCGGCUUGGUAGCAGGGAACAGAGGGGGGAGCUCGCAUGGGAGGUUGGAUCGGGGAGAGGGGAGAGGACGGUGACAUGGGCCCAUGAAAAAAGGGAGCGUGGCCCUCUGCGCUCGCGCCGGGCGCGUGACAAGGCGUGCGACCGGCCGAAGCUUCAGCCGGCGCACCGUCGGAAACAUUUACCAUGCAAAAUUCGGCAUCUGCUCGGCCGUUUUCGGAGGACGCGGCCGGAAUACUGAGCUGGGCUGAUGUGAUUGAUGUUGCCCCCACCACUACUGGUGAAUCGUUUUCAGACCGGUCGGGCUUUGCUAGGUUGAAUGCCCGGCAUCUAGAGACUCAAGUUAAACAACUUGGUUUAUAUUUCAACUGUUUGGUUUAUAUGGAAGGAGGGUAAUGGUAUGUCAUUAACAGAUUCAGUUCAGUUGAUCGGGCCGUUGAGCACGUCAAACGCGACGCUUUCUUCUAGUUCAAGGCCGGAUGAGAUGAGGAGCCCGAGAGCCUUUGGAGCCGGACCGGGCCUGUGGCGAGAGGGCACUCAAACAAAGAGAUGAUCGAAUCCUUGAUUGGUGGAUAUUUGGGCAUGCUUACAAAGGCAAAUUGUUUAAACACGGAUCUUUCAAAUACCCGCGUGACUGAGUGUGGAAGAAAGUAAGAGGAUUGAUGGAAAAACUCUUAUCAGCGGCAUGGAGAGAAGGUUCUAAUAAAAUCAGUGCCGUACACCAUCCCGUUAUACUCCAUGUCCUGCUUCAGGUUACCCAGUGGUCUGUAAGAGAGUGUGACAUCAAUCAUAAGCAUUUUUGGCGGGGCAGCCAGGGGCNNNNNNNNNNNNNNNNNNNNNNNNNNNNNNNNNNNNNNNNNNNNNNNNNNNNNNNNNNNNNNNNNNNNNNNNNNNNNNNNNNNNNNNNNNNNNNNNNNNNNNNNNNNNNNNNNNNNNNNNNNNNNNNNNNNNNNNNNNNNNNNNNNNNNNNNNNNNNNNNNNNNNNNNNNNNNNNNNNNNNNNNNNNNNNNNNNNNNNNNNNNNNNNNNNNNNNNNNNNNNNNNNNNNNNNNNNNNNNNNNNNNNNNNNNNNNNNNNNNNNNNNNNNNNNNNNNNNNNNNNNNNNNNNNNNNNNNNNNNNNNNNNNNNNNNNNNNNNNNNNNNNNNNNNNNNNNNNNNNNNNNNNNNNNNNNNNNNNNNNNNNNNNNNNNNNNNNNNNNNNNNNNNNNNNNNNNNNNNNNNNNNNNNNNNNNNNNNNNNNNNNNNNNNNNNNNNNNNNNNNNNNNNNNNNNNNNNNNNNNNNNNNNNNNNNNNNNNNNNNNNNNNNNNNNNNNNNNNNNNNNNNNNNNNNNNNNNNNNNNNNNNNNNNNNNNNNNNNNNNNNNNNNNNNNNNNNNNNNNNNNNNNNNNNNNNNNNNNNNNNNNNNNNNNNNNNNNNNNNNNNNNNNNNNNNNNNNNNNNNNNNNNNNNNNNNNNNNNNNNNNNNNNNNNNNNNNNNNNNNNNNNNNNNNNNNNNNNNNNNNNNNNNNNNNNNNNNNNNNNNNNNNNNNNNNNNNNNNNNNNNNNNNNNNNNNNNNNNNNNNNNNNNNNNNNNNNNNNNNNNNNNNNNNNNNNNNNNNNNNNNNNNNNNNNNNNNNNNNNNNNNNNNNNNNNNNNNNNNNNNNNNNNNNNNNNNNNNNNNNNNNNNNNNNNNNNNNNNNNNNNNNNNNNNNNNNNNNNNNNNNNNNNNNNNNNNNNNNNNNNNNNNNNNNNNNNNNNNNNNNNNNNNNNNNNNNNNNNNNNNNNNNNNNNNNNNNNNNNNNNNNNNNNNNNNNNNNNNNNNNNNNNNNNNNNNNNNNNNNNNNNNNNNNNNNNNNNNNNNNNNNNNNNNNNNNNNNNNNNNNNNNNNNNNNNNNNNNNNNNNNNNNNNNNNNNNNNNNNNNNNNNNNNNNNNNNNNNNNNNNNNNNNNNNNNNNNNNNNNNNNNNNNNNNNNNNNNNNNNNNNNNNNNNNNNNNNNNNGAAACCAUAUUGGGUCUGUUGGGUCUGAUUAUGGACAUCACUUUGGCUAAAGAAUAUUCCAUCAAAACUGAAUGUUUCAAGUGGAGGUUGGCCAACAUUCACUUCCAACAAGGAACAUUUUGCACUAUCGCAAUAUGAGCAAUACCCAUGUCUGUGCCAUCUGUGGCUUGGAUGACAACUGGGGACAUUCGUUGCUGACAUGUACCAUGGGUCGCAGCAUUUGGGCCCUCUCCAAGGAGGACUUGGUGGAAUACAUGAGCAUGAACCAGGAAAACCGAUGCAAGAAACUGGCUCUUCACGAUGAGCGAGACACUACCACAUGAGGAUUUCACCCGUGUCAUUGUAGCCCUAUGGGCGAUCUGGAGUGCUAGGCGAAAGGUGAUUCACCAGGAUAUCUUCCAGACCUUGUUUGCAACACACUGUUUCAUUAACUCGUACAUUAACGAGAUCAAGGUGAUUCAGCCAACGAUGGAACGAGCUCCUACCCCACAGGUUAUAAGGCAAUGGCAUUGGCUAUGGUCCCAGGAUGGCCAUGCAAAAAUUAACGUCGACGUAGCGGGGUAAAUCAUGGGGUUUUUAUUCCUUAGAAAUAGUGUUGCAGUCAGCUAAUACAAACUCUGAAGCACCGCCUGAAACUCGGUGCAACCUCCAUAACGACCAAUAUUAGCUAGACUAUGAGCAACUCUAUUUUGACCGCGAUAUACUUUCAACAGAAUAAACACUCGAAGAGCUAGCAUUUUGUUAAUCUCCAUAAUCUUAUGACCAUACACCAACCGGUCUAGUGAGUCAUUUGUCAUUUUGCAUGCUCAGUGACAGUUCUUCAAGAGUGGUACUAAUCUCAGCUUCAAGGGCAUAUUUGCAGUGGAAUAAGUACGGGGAUGCUGAGAAAAUAACUCUGCCAUUGCUGACCCCGAGGAUCAUACCCGUAGCGCAAACACACGUAGAAGUAGUAGGUGCGUUGUGACGGCCGGUGUGAACAGAUGUCGCGAUCGCCCAACCCAGCGCGCGUCACGACCAGACCCAUUCUUCACCGAGCUCCGACGGACACAAUUGCCUGCGUACACAUGGCGUGGACGGCGGAGGCGGAGAAGGAGCGACGCUGUAUCCUAGUCCGUGAUCUCUCAACUUGUUCCUCCACGUCCAUAGCUUUGAUCCUGACUUGAUCCUUUUGGUACGUGCAGGAGAAGAAAGACGGUCACAAGUUGUGCAGCAGACGGUAAAUCUGCGGGAUGUGGUUCUAUCCGAGUCCAAAUCGCAAGGACGAGUGGUCGCCCGUUGAUUUCUUCCGCUUGUCGCUCUUCAAAGUCUGCCUGCCUGUCUCGUUUCGAUCCCCUCUCAGCAUGCAACAAUGCCAAGGCCAUCCGGAAAAUUUGGGCAUACGAAUUUGAUGGACCCCAAUGUUCACUAGGAGGGAUGGCAUUUCAAACAUUUUUGCUGACAGUUUCUUCAUUGGCGCAUGCCAGUUUCUUUAGAAACGCGUUUCCGACAAUAAUAAAAGUUUGCGGCAAAAUGGGCAGAAAUUCCCAUCUGCUACCAUCUAAAAAUGAUAUCAAAAAAACUUUGCUCGCCAUCCCUGAUCUCCCUCCCAGCGAAUGUUCGUCUGUGGUAUUUCUAAAAUUUUAUUUGGCUCUCUGCGUGAAGAAGAAUACGGACGGUGGAUUGCCUUGUCAUGAAAAAGCUCCCGCACAAUGCAGACUAGGACCGUUCGGGAGGUCACGGAAUCCUGUGACAGAUGUUGCCUCCAUCAAUGGAGCCUCGUUUCAAACCAGGAGAAUAUCACAUGCAAAUCAAGUUUCAAAGAAACUUUAUGGAAACUGUUUGAAGUUUCAAAAAAAUAAUCAAGAUGUUAAAAGGAUGAUGUUCUAUUGCCAUGCAAAAUUCCAAGUUCAAACACAUCAUAUUUUGUAGUGAUCUAAAAGGUUUUAUAUUAGUUUACGGAGGAAGUACCUCGUAAACCUGUUGAAUUUUUUUCAUACCUCAUAAAACAGUAAUGUGUUUGAACUUGGGAGCUCCACAUGUUAAUAGAACAACAGAUUAACAUCUCGUAUACAUGAUUUUUACUGGUUUCACAGAAACUUGUUUUUUUUAUAUAUUCUCUCUUUCAGACCGGUGGGGUUUGGCUAGGUCGAAUGCCCUGCAUCUGGAGAUAAGUUAAAUAACUUAGUCAAAUUAACUGCUUAGAGCAUCUCCAGCCGCGCCUCCAACAGACUCUUACCAAGCGUUUUUUCCGCGCCGGCGCCGGAAAAAACGGUCCAGUCGCGCCCCCAGGACGUUGAAUUCCGCCGGCUCGGGCCGCUUUUACGCCCGGCGAUCGCAGGCCGAACCCGGCGCACUGGAGGCUCUCGAGGGCUCCAUCGCAAGCGAAAAACGCACCUGGGGCCACAUGCCAGGCGAAAAGUCAAGCCACCNNNNNNNNNNNNNNNNNNNNNNNNNNNNNNNNNNNNNNNNNNNNNNNNNNNNNNNNNNNNNNNNNNNNNNNNNNNNNNNNNNNNNNNNNNNNNNNNNNNNNNNNNNNNNNNNNNNNNNNNNNNNNNNNNNNNNNNNNNNNNNNNNNNNNNNNNNNNNNNNNNNNNNNNNNNNNNNNNNNNNNNNNNNNNNNNNNNNNNNNNNNNNNNNNNNNNNNNNNNNNNNNNNNNNNNNNNNNNNNNNNNNNNNNNNNNNNNNNNNNNNNNNNNNNNNNNNNNNNNNNNNNNNNNNNNNNNNNNNNNNNNNNNNNNNNNNNNNNNNNNNNNNNNNNNNNNNAUAAAUCAUUCCCCGCCGGAAAAAAGAAGAGGUUUUGCCGAGGCAGCCUCUCCACCGCCGUCCGGGCAACUUUUCCGGCGUUCCGUCGGGCAGGGCCUGUACACCGGCGGGUUUGCGCCCACCUUGCCUGCAAGGUGUUCGGUGAUUUCCGGCCCGGUGAUGGACUCCGAAGAUGAGGAGGCGCUCACGGCGUUGCUGGAGGAGGAAGCGAAAGCCGGUGUGAUGAAACUUGAUUUUUUUAUUUGUUAAUCUAUAUAAUUUAUAUUGAACUAUUUGAUUUAUGUGAUGAAACACGCCGAACCAUGCCGAACUAUGUGACGAACUAAUUGGUUUUUAUUUGUAUGCGAAAAUUAACGCCGAAACACGCCGAACCGCGCCGAAUAUGGGCCGAUUCACACAGAUAUCGGGCCGGUUUUGGACACAAUUGGACCAAAUAAUGGGCCGAAAUCGGCGCCUGGGGACGACCUGGGGGCGACGACUGGGUGCCCAACCACCCCGAGCGCCGAGUAUGCCGCCGGCUCACCUCCGAGCCGCUCGUUUUUGGCUCCCUGGGGCCGAACGGCUGGAGAUGCUCUUAGUCUUGAGGGUGGUGGCAUUCGAGAACAAAUUCAGUUCAGUCAAACGCGACACUUUCUUCUGGUUCAAGGCGGGAGGGUAAAUACCUAGGGUCUGUUUUGUGACUUGGUGGUAUUUUCCCCCUCGAUUUGUACACCCGCCUUUGUAUCAGUUCCUUUUUGUGUCUAGGGCUCAUCUAAAUGUGACAUAACUAUGUCACUUUCAUCAUCACUUUUUUCCUUUUUUUUCUUUGUUUUUCCUUUCUUUGUCGUUUUUCCAUUUUGCGGUUGUCCAGGGUACGUUUAUGCGAGCUUCGUUUCGUUCGUGUAGGCAGUAAGGCAGCCUCUGUUCGUUUUUUCCUUUCCGUUCAUUGGCUUGUUUUUUGUGCUUUGCAAAACGUGUUUUUCUCUUAUAAAACCAUAUAUAUUCGUGUAUAAUUUGGAGAUACAUGAAAACCUUACAUUUUUUGUGUUCAAUGUAACAUUUAGAAAGGUGUUCACAUGUUUUAAAAAUGUUCACCGCGAAUUAAAAAAUGUCAAUGCGGUGUAAUUUAAAACAAAUGUUGAAAGCAUUCCCGAAAAGUGUUUGUGACAUUUUAAAAAUGCACAAACGUUCAGAAAAUGUACGUGAAAUGUUUGAUAUUUUUUGUUUCUGGCAUUAAAAAUGUUUGUGUAAUUCAAAAAAAAUUGUUUCCUACCAUUCCAAAAAAUGUAUGCAACAUUUUACAAGAAUAUGUUUGUGUCAUAAAAAAAUGUUUACACAAUGUAAAUAAUGUUCGUGUAGUAUAAAAAUAUAUUUCAUAUCAUUCCAACAAAUCUUCAAAGUUUAUUGGAAAAAAACUAAACUCGUAAUGAAAAGAAAAUCAAAAGAUAUAUUUGAAAAAAUGUUAAUCAUGUUUUUGAAAAAUGUUCAACAUGUAUAAAAAAAUAUUCUUGAUACACACAGAAAAUGUACAAUGUGUAUUUGGAAAAUGUAUUUGAACUCCUCUAUUUAAAAAAAAUGAUAAUCAUGUAUUUAAAAAUGCCAAAUGUGUACUAAAAAUGUUUUUGGUUUAUAAGAAAAAUGUACAAUGUGAUGAGAAAAAGUACACAUCAAGACAUAUAUUUGAAAAACAAAUAUUAAUCAUGUAUUUUCGGUUUAAGGAAAUGUCUGUGACCUUUCUUAAAAAACUCAUGAACAUUUUAAAAAAUAGAGAUGUAACUUGUGGAUAAUUCUCCUCACAGCCCUAAUUGUAGUCUCAUUGUUGGAAUGCAGUUGUGUGUCAAUGGUAUACUUGCAACGGGACAAAAAAUGGGUCAGGCCCAAUUGCAUGUUGAGGGUGGACUUGCAACUGGUAUAAAAUGGGUCGGAUCCCAGUUGCGUACCGAGGAUGGAGUUGUAAUUUGGACAAACUUGAUCCCCAUUUGCGCAUCGAGGGUGGACUUGCAAAAAAAAGACAGGGGCCCAAUUGCAUUCAAGGGUGUAGUUUUCUUGCAACUGGGAGAAAAAUGGGUUGGGCCCCAGUUGCAUUCCCACUGUCGACUUGCAAUCGGGACAACAAAAAUGGCGAGGGCCCCCAAUUGCAUGUCGGGGCCGGGGUUGCAACUGGGAUAAAAUUGGUCGGCCCCUAGUUGCGUGUCGAGGAUGGACUUGCAAAUGGGACAAAAGUGGGUCACGCCUAGUUACGUUCGAGGGUGAACUUGCAGCUGGGAUAAAGAAAGGUGGCCUUCAAUUACAUGUUGGGGAUGCAUUUCCAAAUGGGGACAAAAAUGGAUCGCGCCUCCCUCCCCAAAUUGUCUGUCAAAUGUGGACAUGCAAUUCAAACAAAAAAUGGGUAGGGCCUAGUUGUGGAUCGAGGGUGGACUUGCAACUAAAGCAAAAAUGGGUGCCCCCUCAGUUUCAUGUUGGGAUGGAGUUGCAACUGGAACAAAAAAGGGUCGCCCCCCUUUGCGUGUCAACACUACAAAAAAAAUACACUUCUGUGAUGAUACGUGUUUGUCAUAGUAGGUCGCGUUUUUUGUCAUGCAUGUACAUCCAUAACAAAUUUAUGACAGAAUCAAGAUAGUCAUACCUGUGCUGUCGUAGAAGUGUUCCAUGACAUUACCAAAAUUAUCAUCACGGAAGUGUCCACUUCCAUGAUGAUAAAUCACGCGUCACAGAAGUGCUUUCGUCAAGGGUGACCGACACGUGGCAUCCACCGUAACGGAACGCCGUUAAGCUAUCAGGUCGGAUUUUGGAUCCGAUAACCCGUUAACAGCCACGACUAAUGCCGAUUUUCCACGUGUAAAAUUCUCAUUGGCUGACGGAUCCACGUGUCAGCUCUGCGUUGGCACAUGUGUCACUCAUCUAACGACCGAGAUGGGCCUAUGAUAUGUUGACACGUGGACCGGCCCAAAAGUGGCCCACAAAGUUUAAAUGGGCCGGCCCAACCGAAGGCCCAUAAGAUUUAGCGGACCAUAAUGGGCCGGCCCAGCUAAAGGCCCACAAAAUUUAGCGGACCAUAAUGGGCCGGCCCAGCUAAAGGCCCACAAGAUUUUGCGGACCGUAAUGGGUCGGUCCAGCUAAAGGCCCACAAGAUUCUACAGACCAUAAUGGGCUGACCCAGCUAAAGGCCCAACAUUCUCUGUCAAAUCGGCCCGUCAACGGCCUGGUCUAAACUUGUCAUCAACGCGGCCCAUGGUCACUUCUGGCCCGUUAACAGUCCGCUAAGUAAUUGGGCCGAAUUACGGCCCGGUGUAUUUCCGGCCUGUUAAAGGUCCGGCUUCAUUUGGGCCCAUUUACAGGCCAUCAAAACUUUUGGCCCAUAAACGACCGUGAAGGAUUUGGGUCAUAUUCGGCCAUGUCUGUCAUUCGGCCUGUUAGAGGCCCACUAUAGAUUUGGCCCACUUUCGGCCUGUUGUCAUUUUCGGCCCGUUAACGCCGGACGUAAACCAUGGGCCAUAUGUGGCCCAACGUCAUAUCGGGCCCAUUAACAGCCCAUAUAAAAAUGACAAUAAUCUAGCCCGACCGAAGUUCCGACCUGUUAAAGGCCCAUGUAUUAGGUCGGCGCAUUUACGGCCCGUCCGAAUUUCGGCCUGUCAAAUAUCCGCAUCGUAAAUGGGCCACCAUUUCGGCCUGCUAAGUCCAGUGGGUUAUUUGGCACAAUCAGGGCCCAAUCUCACUUUCGGUCUAUUAAAGGCUCAUGUUUUUUAUGGGCUCGACAUAUUUACAUCUGUAAACGGCCUACUUUUACUGAGGGCCCAAAUUAUGUUUAGGCCUGUUAAUGGCCCACUAUGGGUACAUGCCUACCAGAAAAAUUUGAAAGCUUAUGCUAAUUUAAGCCCAGAUAUUUUUAGUGGGCUACAUGCCAAUUUCGGCCCGUAAUCAUUUUUAGCCCAAUUGGAAUGGGCCCGACGAAUGUUGGCAUGUUGGGCUCUUACAAAGCUUUCAUCUGAAUACAUUACUAAGAUAAACCUACACUAUACAAAAAUAGCGUCAUAAUUACUGCAGCCUGUGACAGCAUCAUAAAUGUUGUGUCACAACAAAACAAAUUCCAAUCAUACAACAAAAGGCCUGUUGGCAUAAAGUUUACAGUCCUUCCAGAUAAAAGCACCAUCAGAUGUAUAGAAGCAUAGAUCAUUUGACCUGAGUGCUAAUGUUUCAGGCUGUAGAAUCUGAUGGAGCAGCAUGAUCUCCACCUUUUUUUCUGCCAUUGCUCUUCAAUAACGAAGUGAAUGUCUGAUAGUCUGGUUUCAAAACCAUUCAUAUCUUGACGGCAUUUCUCAAUCACUAUUCUUGUUUCCGAAACAACGUCCAUUAGGGAUUGAACUUGUGUCUGGAGCACAGAUAUAUCACUCUGUCUAGCAGGAAGAUUUUGUUCAGUAGGCGAUUUGGACGAGGUUACCUUGACAACCAACCCAGAAUUACGCAGGAAGGUGCUUUUUGCACUGUUAGUGGAGAGAUACUGACGCACUGCAACAAGAGGUGACAUUGUGCGUGUAGUAGCCUCGUCACCUUCAGGUGGUUGUGGCUGUUCAAUCAUUUGUUCCAUGGAUUCCUAAAAGUUUGAACUUGUAGAUUAAUGUACCAGUGAGUUACUAAUGAGACAAAAACAAACAAAGUAGGUUAAACGUUUAUACAUAACUUAUUUUGGUGAACUACUGUAAUACAUUAGCAUGUAUUGUAGUGCCAACUACAUAAUAAAAUCACUUUCGGAACAUAUGUCCAUGUAGCAUGCCUACUGUAUUGUCUAUUUCCUCACAUUCGUUGACAUCUAAGGAUAAAGAGACAUGGUUUAAAGUAGGAUGAACAUAGUAUGACAUCAUUCAUAUCAUGGGCAAACAGAUAUAAAACAAACACAUUAUUUUAUCAUUGUGUGCGCACAUGAACAUAACAACUAGGUUACAGAUCAAGACCAAAAGAAUAUCCUUCAUCUCUUUUAAACCAUGUAAGGUGAAAUGAUACGUUAAGACAACUAUGUAUAAAAGUGAACAGAGUAACUGACAUUGGCUGCAAAUCAAGUAGUUAAAUGAACACAUCACAGUACCAAUCAGUUCAAGGCAGGAGGAGUAAGGACUUACAACAGCGGCUUGAACUGGUGUGCUCAUUCCCUUCAUCUUGCUGGUGUGGCAAUCCUUUAAGAUUUGCACUGCAUUCGGUUCAGGUUCUUUUUGGUCCGCACGGGCUUUCCGCUGUAUUUGGAACAAGUCAAUAUAGAUACGAUAAUAUGGCACAAAAAAAGAAGGAAGUAGCAGCUAUUUACAAGAGCCUCGCAGUGUGCAAUAUACCUACAGGAUCUUGUUGUCUGUUGGAAUUUCACUUUAGAACGGUUGGUUUUGUUCUUCAAAUAGUUAGCCUAGAAGAAGAUACACUUGUAAGGCACAUACAUAAAUACAAGUUCAAUAUGUGGUCUGAUCAAAUACAUAUAGCCUACCUGAUACUUUCGAUCAGACCGGUGUUUAACGAGGGCUGUCCAGUCUUCAUCUGUAAUAUAUUCCACUGGAGAUGUUUGGGCGAUUUCAUUGUUAGCCUUGUCUUCAAAGUGAGAUUUUCUAAGGUGGUACCGAUACUAUCGCUGAGCAGACUGAAAAACAUGAGUGCAUGCUGGUUUAGUUGCAUCAUCUCUCGGAUCCAACUUGAACCUCAUCUGUUGAAAAAAGAAUGCGAGUCUUAUUAGGAGGAAGCUAGAAAGUAUGGGACAGAGCAAGACAAUAUUACUAAUUGCGAUGAAUAACAUUACUUACAGAUAAAUGGUCAAGGAAGGUGUUAAACUGGGUAUUGUCUUUCUCAUUCCUGUACUGGAUCCACGUUGGGAGGAUACGCGCAUGACACCUAACGGCAACGGCUGCCUCUGAUACUAACUUGGCUAACUCUGUAGCAUCACGUGGCCUUUUUAAACCUGCCUCAAAAUGGAUCUCCAUUCUUCCUCCUUUAAAUUUUGUUAAUCUGUCAAGCAUUAUCCCUGAUGUCUGUUUCCGCUUGCGCCGUGGUGCUAGUUCAACAACGAAUAUGGAAAGUGUUAGUGUACAUCAAACUGUGAGAGUACAUAUAAAGGAGCAUGCAACUGCAACUUGACUCGGUCAGGUACCAUCUUGGUGUUGAUGCUCAUGAGGUUCAUCUAAUCUUGCCAAGUCCUAUUGUGUCAACAGUGCUUCAGAAGUAGUGUUAGGUGUGAAGGCAGCUUGGGAACUGGCCAGUUCCGGAGCAAACCAACGAGUAACUGGUUGAGAUGCUGGUACAGUUGAAGCGGAUGCUGCAGCUGGUGGAGCAGGUGAUACUGUGUUUGUAGAUUUAGCCGGUGGACUUGGACCUUCUACUGCACUAUAAGUACCACCAGAAUCUUGAUGGCAGAGACUUUUCCGUUUCACCCGACGAGUAACAGCACUCCCUACUAUAUAUUUUCCUUGCUCUUUUUUGACUUUGCCAUGUCAAGCUGUACCAACAACACAAAAGAAUAAAAUCACUCUUCAGAACUCAUUGAUGCAUGAUACAGACAAGCAAUACUUUGAUGUAAGACAACCAUAUGAGGAUGGAAUAUGUAAGAAAAACAGGACGGCAUGACAUAUCCACAGCUACGAUGUGCAAACUAAGCAGAAGGAUUUUCAAGAAAAUAGAAGUAAUGCAAGCUAGACACCAUAUGAAAGAUGCAACCAAUAUUACUCUGCCAAGUUAAAAGUGUCUUGUCAUAAGUGGCAAUUCGAAAAAUUAGAAGUAGUACAACGUAGAAAACAAUGCAAGAUGCAACCACUAUCAAACUGCCAUGUUAAAAGCGUCCAAUCAUGAGUUACUGAUACGGGAUACACAACAGCAGUACUUUGAUGUAAGAACAUGGUAUGAUAGAUAGAUGCAGUGUAUUCUAGACACAGAAAGCCAUGUCAUAUGCACAUGUAUAACAUAUAAACUCAGCAGGUGCAAUUUAAUCAAAAUAGAAGAAAUACAGGCUAGACAACAUAUGCAACAUGAAACCAAUUAUCACACUGUCAACUUAGAGCAAGCACCUGCGAUGGUGGAGUGCGGGAGAUGAACUCAUCAUGUAGACUUGGGACUUCAACUUCAUUAGCAGUAGCAGUGGCAAAUCUAGAGAGUCUCUGUUUGCGUCGGUGUGGAGUACCACCAACAUCCCCUAACUUACACUUUUCCUUCCUAUUUUCUGAUAUUGCCUUAUGAAGUCAAAACCACAAGAAGAUGAAUAAAAUUAGCUCUGCAUAACUGGUUGAUGCAUGAUACAGACGAACACUACUUUGAUGUAAGGCAAGCGCAGGAGGAUGGAAUAUAUACAAAAAAAGACAGCGUUUCAUAUUCACACGUACGAUAGGAGGAUGGAAUAUGUAUGAAAAAACAGUAAGCGGAAGGCAUUUCAACAAAAUUAGAAGAAAUGAAAGCUAGGCACCAUAUGAACAUGUAACCAAUAUCACUCUAUCAGGUAAAAAGUGUCUCGUCAUAAGUGCCAUUUCAAUAAAUUAGAAGCAGUACAAGCUAGAAGAUAAUGCAAGAUGCAACCUACAUCACAGUCCCAAGUUAAAUGUGUCUUAUGGGUAAGUGAUCGUUGCAGGUAUAAGUUGUAAGCUACGCAGAUGCAAUUCAACAUAAUCAGAAGCAAUACAAACUAGACAUCAUACGGAAAACGCAACCACGUAUAACAGUUCCAAGUAAGAGCAAGCACCUGUGAUGGUGGAGUAGGGGAGAUGUGCUCAUCGUGUACACGUAUGUUCUAGAAACAGGAACAUGUGUCAUAUUCACAGGCAUUAUGUGUAAAGUAAGCAGAUGCAAUUCAAGUUAGAAGCAAUACAAGCUAGACAUCAUACGCAACAUGCAACCACAUAUAAUAGUGUCAAGUUAGAGCAAGCACCUGUGAUGGUGGAGUAGGGGAGAUGUGCUCAUCAUCUACACAGCUACGUUGACUGUCCAGCCUUGUGUUGUCUUGCGAAUCUUGUUGGGAGGAUGGCGGAGUAGAAUCUGUAGAGACCCCCUGUUUGAGUUGCUCCGAAGGACCACCAUCAUCCACUGCUAGACUAAUUUCCUUCAGCUGUAAUGAUUUUGCAUUGUGAAGUCAAACCGAUAAGAAAAAGGAAUAAAAUUCGCUCUUCAGAACUCAUUCAUGCAUGAUACUGACGAACACUACUCGGAUGAAAGGCAAACACAUGAUGCGAGGAUGGAAUAUGUAUGAAAAACAGGAUGGUGUGACAUAUUCACACCUAUGAUGUGGUAACUAAGCAGAAGGCAUUUCAACAAAUUAGAAGCACUGCAAGCUAGACACCAUAUGAAAGAUGCAACCAAUAUCACUCUGCCAAGUUCAAACUGUAUGUCGUUUCAACAAAUUAGAAGCAGUAUAUGCUAGAAAUCAUAUGCAAGACACAACCAAUAUCACAGUGGCGACUUAAAGGUGCCUUAUCAUAAGUGACUGAUGCGGGAUAUGCAAGAAUAGUAGUCUGAUGUAGAAACAGGAACACAUGUCAUAUUCACAUGCAUUAUGUGUAAAGUAAGCAGAUGCAAUUCAACAAAGUUAGAAGCAAUACAAGCUAGACAUCAUACGCAACAUGUAACCACAUAUAAUAGUGCCAAUUUAGAGAAAGCACCUGUGAUGGUGGAGUAGGGGAGAUGUGCUCAUCAUCUACACAGCUACGUUGACUGUCUAGCCUUGAGUUGCCUUGCGAAUCUUGUUGGGAGGAUGGCGGAGUAGAAUCUAUAGAGAACCUCCGUUUCAGUUGCUCGGAAGGACCACCAUAUCCAAUGCCUUGCCAAUUUCCUUCAGCCUUAUUGAUUUUGCAUUGUGAGGUCAUACCGACAAGAAAAAGGAAUAUCAUUCGCUCUUCAGAACUCAUUCAUGCAUGAUACUGACGAACACUACUCUGAUGAAAGGCAAAGUCAUGAUACGAGGAUGGAAUAUGUACGAAAAAAUGGACGGCUUGACAUAUUCACACCUAUGAUGUGGUAACUAAGCAGAAGGCACUUCAACAAAUUAGAAGCACUGCAAGACACCAUAUGGAAGGUGCAAUCGAUAUCACUCUGCCAAGUUAAAAUUGUCUCGUCAUAGGUGGCGUUCAUCAAACUAGAAGCAAUACAUGCUAGAAAUCAUAUUCAAGACGCAAACCAAUAUCACACUACCAACUUAAAGGUGUCCCAUCAUAAGUGACUGAUGCAGGAUACACAAGAAGAGUAGUUUCAUGUGAGAACAUGGUGUGAUAGACAUAUAUAGUAUGUACCAAAAACAGGAAAGCGUGUCAUAUUCACAUGUAUCAUGUGUAAGCUAAGCAGAUGCAGUUUACACUAAUUAGGAGCAAUACGAGCUAGACACCAUAUGCAACAUGCAACCAGAUAUCACACUGCCAAGUUAGAGCAAGCACCUUGGAUGGUGGAGUAGGGGAGCGGAGACUUGGACCAUGUAAUGCACUAUCAGUACAAGGAGAAUCGGUACAGAUGCUCCGUUUACGUUGCUGCAGAGGACCACCAUCAUUGCCUUCCUUACUCUUUUCCUUCCUCUUUCUUGAUUUUGCCUUGUCAAGUCAAACCCACAAGAAAAAGGAAUAAAAUUUGCUCUUCAAAACUUAUUGAUGCAUGAUACCAACGAACACUACUUUCAUGUAAGGCAGACGCAUGAUAGGAGGAUGGAAUAUGUAUGAAAAACAGGACGGCGUGACAUAUUGACAUGUAUGAUGUAUAAAGUGUAAACUAAGCACAAGAUGCUUGAACUUGUUAGAAUCGAUGCAAGCUAGAAACCAUAUGAAAGAUGAAACCAAUAUCACUCUGCCAAAUUAAAAGGGUGUCGUAACAAAUGUAUUUGACCAAAUUAGAAGCAAUACAUGGCAACAGGCUAGAAAUAAUAUGCAAUAUGCAACGAAUAAAGGUGACUCAUCGUAAGUAAUUGAUGCAGGAUACAGAAGAGAGGUAGUUUCAUUUAAGAACAAGGUUAACACGUAGAUGUAGUGUGUACCAAAAAUAGGAAGGCAUGUCAUAUUCACAGGUAUAGUGUGUAAACUAAGCAGAUGCAAUUUACCCUAAUUAGAAGCAUUACAAGCUAGACACCGUAUGCAACAUGCAACCACAUAUCACACUGCGAAGUUGGAGCAAGCACCUGUGAUGGUGGUGUAGGGGAAGUGCUGUCUUCAGGUACAGAGAAACGUUCAAUAUCUUCAUUUAGGCUUGCUGUUUCUUAAGAAUCAUGUGGAGAGGAUGAAAUUGCAUUGUUUAUAAGAGUAUUGCGUCUCAUAUUAACCCACGCGCGUGACUGUCUCAUCAUAAGCGAUAGACGCAGGAUACACAAGAACAGUAGUUUGAUGUAAGAACAUGGUGUGAUAGGCAGAUGUAGUAUGUACCAAAAAUAGGAAGGCGUGUCAUAUUCACAUGUAUAAUGUGUAAGCUAAGGAGAUGCAAUUUAACAAAUUAGGAACAUUGAUGAGGGAUACACAAGAGAAGUAGUUUGAUGUAAGAACAUGGUUAAUAGAAGACAUAGUAUGUACCAAAAACAGGAAGGCAUGUCAUAUUCACAGGUAUAAUGUGUUAACUAAGCAGAUGCAAUUUACCCUAAUUAGAAGCAUGCAACCACAUAUCACACUGCCAAGUAAGAGCAAGCACCUGCGAUGGUGGUGUGGGGGAAUUGCAGUGAUCAACUAGAGAGCUACGUUGACUAUCUUCAUUUAGCCUUGCUGUUUCUUGAGAAUCAUGUGGGGAGGAUGACACUACACUCUUUAAACGAGUAGGGCGUCUCACAGUAACCCACUCGGGUGACUGUCUCAUCAUAAGUGAUUGACGAGGGAUACAAAAGAGCAUUAGUUUGAUGUACGAACAUGGUUAAUAGACAUAUGUAGUAUGUAUCAAAAACAGGAAGGCAUGUCAUUAUCAAAGGUAUAAUGUGUAAAGUAAGCAGAUGCAAUUUAACCAAAUUGGAAGCAAUACAAGCUAGACACCAUAUGCAACAUGCAACCACAUUUGACAGCGUGAAGUUAAAGCAAGCACCUGGGAUGGUUGUGUGUGGCAAUUGAGAUCAAAAACUGCAGAGCUACUUUUACUAUCUCUAACUGCUGACACUGCACCCAUUAGAGCGUUGAAACGCUUACUGCUUAUCUUCGAAUUACACUGGAGUGACUUCUAUCUUUUCUUUUCUGCAUUCAUCAACACUGCGUCAGAGUCUAAAAUACCCAUGCAUAAAAAAACAAUAGUGUGAGUAUGGGUGAAGUGUGUGCACAAUUAGUACAGUGUAAAGGUAGCAGAUAGCAGGUCGGUGAGAAAUAAAUGACGGGAGACAUAUGAUAGCUCUACAACAUGCAUGACACACUCAAUUACUACAGGAUUCUAUGAAAAUAACAGUUGACUGAAAGCAAAUAGGUCAGUCCAUUUUUUCUACACCAUCCGAUGUACAAAGAACGGGGAGAUCGGCUUCAUCUACGUCCAUCCAGUCAGUGUUGACGAUCUUCCUCGAAACGCCAGCGACCACCGGCCCAGUAUUCCUCCCCUGCCUGCGCCCUCCCCUCGACCUCACCGCACCGCCGUGCUUGGCACCGCCCCCCGGCCAUCCAUUCAAGCCCCGCCGACCUCCAGAUCGGGCGCAAGCAGCUCCUGCGCCCCACACCCCUAUGAUAGACACCGAUGCGCCGCUUCCCCGGGGAAUAGGCGGACUAGGUGCUCCGCGCGCCUAAGCGGGUGCUGCUUCUUUUAAUUGCAGUUCGACUGACCCUGAAUUGAAAUCCAGGCGGGCUACUGACCUCUAGCAAAGGUGAAAUAGUAAAAGGGAGGAAACCUUGUGCAUUUAGUAUCACGAAGAAGAUGCAGUAAGAAGCGCUCAACUAGUUUCUUUUGUGGGAUGAAUACGGUGUGAGCGGAGACGUAAGAUUUGCACGAAUAAGGGAAGAGGAGUACCUCUUUCUGCUGGCAGUGUUGUGUCCUCCUUCUGUUUUUCCGACGAUCUUGUUGUUCGCCGGAAACCAGAAGUUGUGGAGGACGGUGCGGCCUUGGACGAACCCAUGGCCAAGUUGUUAAGUGUGGUGCGGUGGCCAUCUGUCGGCGGCGAGGAAGCAGAUCCGAGGCGGUGAACAACGGCGUAGCGGGAAUAGCUCCUGUGCGGUGGACGGUUGCGACAGUGGAGCCGCAACAGUGAGGCGCAGGACGGCGUGGUCGGAGUGGUUCUGGUACGGCGCACGUCGGCGUCGGCGUCGUGGAGGCAGCUCUGCCUCGGCUUCAGCUGCUAAGUCCUUGAGGGCGUUGCGGUUGCGGUUGCGUUGGAUGACGACGUCGGGGUACCGGCUCCGGCGUGAUGGAGGAGGGCGGCGGUGGAUUGGCCGCUAUGGGGUGGAGGACGGAGGAGGUUGGGGUUUCGCCGCUGGUGGAGGGGGCGUUUUCGCGCCCACGGAGUAUGAAUGGGGAAACGGAGGGAGGCGGGGAACUAAGGGGGAACAAUGUUUCGGUUUGAUAUGCGCUUGUUUGAAAUUUGGGGAAAGUUACAAACUUUGCCCCCAUCUAAAAUUUCGGACAUAUUGUGGGUUGGGGGUAGGACAGNNNNNNNNNNNNNNNNNNNNNNNNNNNNNNNNNNNNNNNNNNNNNNNNNNNNNNNNNNNNNNNNNNNNNNNNNNNNNNNNNNNNNNNNNNNNNNNNNNNNNNNNNNNNNNNNNNNNNNNNNNNNNNNNNNNNNNNNNNNNNNNNNNNNNNNNNNNNNNNNNNNNNNNNNNNNNNNNNNNNNNNNNNNNNNNNNNNNNNNNNNNNNNNNNNNNNNNNNNNNNNNNNNNNNNNNNNNNNNNNNNNNNNNNNNNNNNNNNNNNNNGGGUAGGACAGUCAUGUCAGGUGUCCCAAAUGUGUGUGUGUGGGGGGGGGGGAUAGAUUUCGGCCGAGCGCAUGGGUGUUUAGGUGCCCACGGCGUAUGAAUGCUUCUCGGAGGCGGUUGAGACUGGCGUCUUGGUGAAGCUACAAACCUACCCCGGUUUAGACCUUUGGACAUCGGGCCGAUAGGCUACACGGGCCAGAGUUAGGACAGUAAUUUCCUACCACCAAAACAUUAGUCUCGCGCGGUUUCGGGUAACCAGAGGCCUAUUUGGCGCUUCGCUCAAUAUUUGGGAGCAGAAGCAUUAACGUUUUCGGUUCUCUUGAAUUGGACUUUCAGGAUUUGUGAAACUUCACAAAUCUUUACUCUUGAAAAUUCUAAAGCUACGAUUAUUUUGGAAUGGAGGGGGUACAUUUUAAUAUACAUUGUACACGAGUAUAUAUUAAAAAAUAUGCAACUUACCUCAGUUCAUGCAUGGUUCCAGGUAUAAUCUCCUUGGUUGCAAAAAAAUUUAGAUAUGCGUAUGAAUAUAUAUACCAUGUUCAAACUCACACCAAAGAUUGAUGCCCCCUUUUACAUCUGAUUUACAAAUGCCAUUAUCUUGGGUUCAAAUAGAUGAAUGCACUUCCUAUGAAUUCGAAUCUUCGAAACCCCCUUUAUGUUGAAUUCGACAUGUAUUUUAUUUCGUAGCUAGCAAUUUGGAAUGUAUCCAUGCAAGUGACAAAUGUAUAAAGUGCUUCACACUAACAACAUGGAGUGCACUAAUUAAUGUUUAUAUAUGAAUUGCAAAAGCACCCAUUGCCUGUAUUUCAAACCGCUCUCACUCUAUGGAUCGAUAAUAUGAAAUAAACACAUGCACAUGCUAGAAUUCAAUAGAGUAUGGGUGUCUGAUAGACCAAUUUUCGUCCGUACAAAAUUUUGCAAAAUUCAUGAUCUCAUCCAAAAAUAAUAAUGCCAUUUAUAUUUUAAUUUAAUGCAUAGAACCGCCUUUUACACGUAGAUAUCUCUCUAUCUAACGCAUAAGUGCACACACUUUAUAUGCAUCGGCAUUUCUCUUUCACACAUGCUCACAAUCUCUCUCAGGGUGUCGGGGUGUCUCACGCACAUGCUCUCUCUGUUUCUCUAUCUCUCUUUCUGACUACUAUGUACCACUCUUUUCACUAAUCUCAGUUGGAAAACACUAUUUCUCUCACGUGCAUAUAUACACAUGCACGGUCUCUACUAGCCCUCUAUACGCACAUAUAUGUGCCUACGUGUCUCCCGCACGCACAUUAUCUUUAGGCCUCUCUCGCCCACAUUGCCCCCCCGACACACCUCUCUAAUAGUAGUUGGCAGAUAUGAUUUCAUCAUAUCAUUCGGUAGGAUAUCCCUGGCUGUUAGGCUAGAUGGUAAUACGAGGCAAAGUUUUACCCUAGCUCAGAUCGGACCCUUGCAGUUGAAGAAAGAGCCUACUCCUGGUACUAUAUAUUAGUGUUAGGGGUGUGUACAAAGUACACGUGAAUACCAGGCAUUGUGCGUGUGUGUAUACUAUCGACGAACUAGCCCCCAAGCCUGUAUAACAUACUAAGGGCCUAGGGUUACAAAUCAUAUAUAGUCGGCUUAUCACCAGUGGGGAUAGAGUCCUCCGCGACUCUGGUAGCUUCGUGUUGUACGCCGAGUCCUCCACAUGGGUCUCCGUAUAACACGUCUCGGUCCAACCUAUAUGUGGUGCAGGAUGGAACUGACCCAUGAGUCUUCAUGUUGACCCACCACAACUAGAAAUGAUGUGCCCACCACACCACACACGCAAUCGGCCACUAAGAAAAUAAGCAUAUACAAUAGUACAACGGUAUCUAGCUCACGAUACGUCUCCAUAUUUUGUUGAUGACACUGACGGACUUUGCAUUUGAUGCGUGCUCCGUAUUUCGUUGACGACACUUACGGUCAUUGUAUUUGAAGCGAAAGCACGAUAUGGUCACUGGACUUCAGAAUAAGCUCAUCACGGUCACCACAUACAUUUUGUCGUGCUAACCAACAUGUGGUUGGAUGGUUAGAGGACAGUGGUUUCUCGAGCCCACCAAGGUUAAAGUCCCGGUGCUCGCAUUUAUCUUGUGUUAAUUUCAGUAUUUUCCGGCGAUGUACGUUCAGUGGGAGGAGACGUUCCACUCGACUAGGAGGCACCUAUGGUGACUUCAUAAAAUCUCAAGAUCAUAUAUGCUGGCCCACUCUCUCUCGAAGGUGCGGCGGCGGACCAGCGGUGGGGAGUGGUUUCGGGGAGGGCGUGUAACGCCCGAAUAAUCAGUGCUACAGUAAUCUCACGUUAAUGAUGCCACGUCACCUCUGUCACUGUAGUUAAUCUCGGGUUAAUUCAAAACCGUUUCGAAAUUCAAAUUCAAGUUAAUGUCAACAAAUAAAGUUUUCAAAAAUUUGAAACAAAAAUGUUCGGAUAAUGCCAAAUAUGGCAUAGGCAAUUAUGGUGUAGAUGACACAAAUUUAUAAAUUACUUAAAUGCCCAAAUUAAAUAGAACAGAACACAAAGAAAAGAAAAAGAAAAGGAAAAGAAAGGAGAAAAGAAGAAAACCCCCCCUUCCCCCCCUGGGCCGAAAGGCCCAGCUGGCCAGCAGCCAGCCAUCCAACCGGCCCAACUCCCCGCACCGCACCCUCUCCCUGUUCCUCGGUUCCGCGCCGCUACAGGGCACGGUCGCCACUGAACCCCCCUCGCCGGCGCCGCAGGGGGAUAAGAUCGCCAGCGCCCCCCCGCCUCCUCGAUCCCGCCUCCCACUCGCCCCCACACUCGCCCUCGGNNNNNNNNNNNNNNNNNNNNNNNNNNNNNNNNNNNNNNNNNNNNNNNNNNNNNNNNNNNNNNNNNNNNNNNNNNNNNNNNNNNNNNNNNNNNNNNNNNNNNNNNNNNNNNNNNNNNNNNNNNNNNNNNNNNNNNNNNNNNNNNNNNNNNNNNNNNNNNNNNNNNNNNNNNNNNNNNNNNNNNNNNNNNNNNNNNNNNNNNNNNNNNNNNNNNNNNNNNNNNNNNNNNNNNNNNNNNNNNNNNNNNNNNNNNNNNNNNNNNNNNNNNNNNNNNNNNNNNNNNNNNNNNNNNNNNNNNNNNNNNNNNNNNNNNNNNUCUCCUCCGCGUUCCCCCCCACCACGCCCGAACACCGCCAUGGACCCGCCGCCGUGAAUCGCGCGGCCACAGCCAUCGCCUCGCCGCGCCUGCGUGUCCGUCGACGCCUCCAUCGUCUUCCUCGUCCACCGGAGGCCUCAGCUGGAGCAGGGGAGCCCCGAAUCAACGGAUUCCCUUCGCCCACAUCACCGGCUGCCGCGUUCUUCUUCAUCUCCGGCGCCGGCCUCUGCUGCUACUAAUCCGUCACGGGCCUACGUGUGAGCCGCACGGUGAGCCCUCCCGCCUCCUGCUCCUCCCCGUUAUCUCCCGCACGCGUUAUAGCUAGCUCGGUGGCGCGCCCGAGAGCUCACCGCCGCCGGUCGCUUCGCCGUCGUGGCCAUGGCCUCUGUCGUGCUCGCCUGAGCACGACAUCGUGCUCCUGAUGCUCAUAGGAGCCCAACGCGCACGCGCACACUCCCUCCCGUGCCUCCUAGUGUGUUUCCCGUCGGGGACCUGACCGCGCUGCUGCCAAAGCUCAUCGCCGGCCGUGUUUCCGGCAACCAUUUGGUCCAGCGCCACCGCCAAACGACGCGGAAUGCCUCUGCGGUUCGAACGCAAGUUGUUGCGCGCGGUUUGGUGCUUCCUUGCACGAUCCCGACGAUGUCCCGAACGACGCCGCCGCCUCUGCUCGUCGCCGGUGCCGAUUCCGGCCAAGUCCGGCCAUACCACCACCCCCACUCGACGCGGCAUCGAGUGGCCGUUCGAUUAGACCAAGCUGCGCGCCGAACGGCGCCGUGUAGCGAAAUCCCGACGAGGCCCGGGUGCCCCCGCCGCGUUCUGACGUCGCGGCGGCCAAACGCCGGCCGCCGCCUACGUGGUUGGCCUGGGGCCACCCCAGAGCCACUGCCAGUGGGCCCUGCGGGUCCUAGUUGACUGGGUUGACCCAGUCAACUGCUGACGUGGCAGCUACUGCCACCGACAUUUGGGCCCCAUGUCAUAAACGAAUAAAAAUAAAUAGAUAACUUGCUAAUUAAUUAAAUAGUUAAUUAAACACUAAUCUCUCACUGACUACCGGGCCCUACCCACUAAUUAGCCUAUUUAGUUAGUUUUAAAACUCUGUUAGUACCCUGUCAAUGACAUGUGGGUCCCACUGGACCCACCUGUCUGGUUUGACUGGUCAACCGACCAGUUGACAUGCUGACAUCACUCUGAUGUCAUGCUGACGUCAUCAUUUACUAUUCUGGAUAAUGUUGGAUUUAAAUAAUUAACUAAAUUCCUAAAAAUGAUUUAAAUCUUUAGAAAAUCAUAUCUUUUAAUCCGUAACUCGGAUGAAAAUACUUUCUACAUGAAAGUUGCUCAGAACGACGAGACGAACCCGAAUACGCAGCCCGUUCGUCCACCACACACCUCUAACAUAUCAAACACGCAACUUUCCCCCUCCGGUUCAUCUGUCCGAAAACGCGAAACACCGAGAAUACUUUCCCGGAUGUUUCCCCCCUUUGUCGGUAUCACCUACUACCGUGAUUGGGCACACCUAGCAUCGUUACUUGUCAUGUCAUGCAUCGAUAUGCAUUUGUUUGCAUUGUAUUCAUUGUUUCUUCCCCCUCUUCUCUCCGGUAGACCACGAGACCGAUGCUGUUGCUGCCCAGUUCGACUAUGGAGUUGACGACCCCUCCUUCUUGCCAGAGCAACCAGGCAAGCCCCCCCAUGAUCACCAAAUAUCGCCUAUUCUCCUCUAUACUGCUUGCAUUAGAGUAGUGUAGCAUGUUACUGCUUUCCGUUAAUCCUAUUCUGAUGCAUAGCCUGUCAUUGUUGCUACAGUCAUUGAUACCUUACCCGCAAUCCUAAAUGCUUAGUAUAGGAUGCUAGUUUAUCAUCAUUGGCCCUACAUUCUUGUCAGUCUGCCUUGCUAUACUAUUGGGCCAUGAUCACUCGGGAGGUGAUCACGGGUAUAUAUUAUACAUACUUACAUACUAUACAGAUGGUUACUAAAGUCGGGUCAGCUCGAAGAGUACCCGCGAGUGAUUCAUGGAUUGCGGGCUGAAAGGACCUUUGUCCCGACGGCCCUCUGUGUGGAUCUUUGUGGCGGAGCGACAGGGCAGGUUGAGACCACCUAGGAGACAGGUGGGCCUGGCCCUGUUCGGCGUUCACGGAUACUUAACACACUUAACGAGAUCUUGGUAUUUGAUCUGAGUCUGGCCAUUUGGUCUAUACACACUAACCAUCUACGUGGGAGUAGUUAUGGGUAUCCCGGCGUCGUGGUAUCAGCCGAAGCACUUCAGACAUUAGCGACAGAGCGGCGCGCGCCGGAUUGGACUGGAACGCCUGCUAGGCUAGGUCUGCUUCCGGCCGCCCUCGCAACGUGCAGGUGUGCUAUGGGCGAUGGGCCGAGACCCCUGUGCGCUUAGGUUUAGACCGGUGUGCUGGCCUCUCUGUUUUGCCUAGGUGGGGCUACGACGUGUUGAUCUUCCGAGGCCGGGCAUGACCCAGGAAAGUGUGUCCAGCCAAAUGGGAUCGAGCGUGUUGGGUUAUGUGGUGCACCCCUGCAGGGAAGUUAAUCUAUUCGAAUAGCCAUGAUCUUUGGUAACAGGACGACUUGGAGUUGUACCUUGACCUUAUGACAACUAGAACCGGAUACUUAAUAAAACACACCCUUCCAAGUUCCACAGACAACCCGGUGAUCGCUUUUCCACAGGGCGACGAGGGGAGGAUCGCCGGGUAGGAUUAUGCUAUGCGAUGCUACUGGAGAUGCUACUUGGAGAUGCUACUUGGAGGACUUCAAUCUACUCUCUUCUAUAUGCUGCAAGAUGGAGGCGUAGUCUUCGACAGGAUUAGCUAUCCCCCUCUUAUUCUGACAUUCUGCAGUUCAGUCCACUUAUAUGGCCCUUUACACAUAUACCCAUGCAUAUGUAGUGUAGCUUCUUGCUUGCAAGUACUUUGGAUGAGUACUCACGGUUGCUUUCUCCCCCCUUUUUCCCCCUUUCCUUUCUUCCUGGUUGUCGCAACCAGACAUUGGAGCCUAGGAUCCAGACGCCACCUUCGAUGACGACUCCUACUACACUGGAGGUGCCUACUACUACGUGCAGCCCACUGAUGACGACCAGGAGUAGUUAGGAGGAUCCCAGGCAGGAGGCCUGCGCCUCUUUCGAUCUGUAUCCCAGUUUGUGUUAGCCAUCUAUGGCUACUUGUUUACUUAUGUCUAUACUCAGAUAUUAUUUCUUCCGCUGACUCGUCUAUGAUCGAGCACUUGUAUUCGAGCCCUCGAGGCCCCUGGCUUGUAUUAUGAUGCUUGUAUGACUUAUUUAUGUUUUUAGAGUUGUGUUGUGAUAUCUUCCUGUGAGUCCCUGAUCUUGAUCAUACACAUUUUGCGUGCAUGAUUAGUGUACGAUUGAAUCGGGGGUGUCACAGGGCGGGCCGGCCGCGGGCGGCGGGGGCGGGCGAUUCGGCCGGUGGUGGCUGGCGGCUCGGGGGGGGGGGUGGAGUUUGAUGAUAAACUGGAGGCCCUUGAUUUCGUAUCCAAUGGCUGGAAAAUCUAAUGACCAGAGAUGAAAAAGUCAGUCGACUGACGUGUAGCCUCACCCUGCACAUACACAUGCACGCACGCAAGACACGCACGCAUGUAGGCGUGCAACACUGACACGUACACAUAACAUACACACGCACGCAUGCUGGCGUGCAACACUGACACGUACACAUGCACUCAUGAACACACGCACGUACGCACCCAUGCAUGCAACACUGAAAGGCACCCUUGCACGUACGCACCCAUGCAUGCAACACUGAAACGCACCCUUGCACGCACGCAACACUCGCACGCCUGCAUGCACACAUCACACGACGCAAGACACACGCUUAACUACAUGAAAAAGAUGACAUCACACUCAAUGAACAAUCAUCGGUUUAUGAAAUGCCCGCUUCUGACCGCCCUGGCCCACCAAAGGUUCCUCUGCUGUGUGCUGCCUGCGUUGGGUCACUGACAUGCAGGCCAUGCAUCCAAAGAGACCACACGUCAGUGGAAGAACGGUGCGGUGUCCUAGGUCAGAGUCGAGGGCGCCACUUGCGGCACGCCCGGCUGAACACGCCUCCGUGCCGCAUUCAAACGCCUCCAUGAAACCCGCCCGUGUGGAAGCCGAGAAACCCACUCUGGACACACGUCCGUUCAUGACCGGGCCGGCGUUAAACGCAACACCGACCGAGCUCCUCCCGUCCACCGUCUAUUUAAUCUGCUAUUUAAAUGAGGCCAAACGCCGGCCAAGAAUCGCACACCUCUGUCGCUCCCCUAUCUCCUCCACCAUUUUGUCCACUCUUACAAUGGCUUACGAAGAGUAGUUAUUCCGCAUCCAAGCCGGCUGGGUAGCCCACCGGAUACGAGCUAUGCAGCUCGCUGAUCCACCUCCCUCCCCUCGCCUUAUGGAGCCAAUUGCCGCCCCAAGCUGGCGCGCGGUUCAGCAACUCGCCGCUCCAGGCCAGCUCGACGAGGAGCAGCGCACGGGCGUCGUUGCUGCCGUCCACGCUGCCACCUCGUACCGCGUCUCCCGUUUCUGUGGCCGAGACUCCCAUGCCAGCGGCCGCGCCAUGCAAGUAGCGACAAAAGCCGGGUGCGCAGAGAGCGACGAGUCGGUGGCCAGCGCCUCCGCGUCCGCCGCCAUCAGCAAGGAGAAGUAGAACACGGGAGGCCGCCGCCGCUUGGGUCCCAUGAAGGCCACCGCGGAGGCGACACCGGCGUACACAUCAGGUGUCUUGCCGGAUCCUUUUGUUGCGAGGACCUUCGUCGACCCCGCAUGGGCUCCACAAAAGAGGUCAAUGUUAGGAUGAACUCGAGCCGGUGCCGACCAUGGCGAAGUAGUGGCCGGUGAUGAACUCAAACCGGUGCCGGCCACCAUCAUCUUCGGCACCAGCCAAUGAUAUCAGCUGGGUAGUGGGGAAGCGAGCCAUCCUUUGCGCUGAAGCAUAUACCUCCGGGGCUCCCGGCAGUCCGGUGAUCGUGCUGCCGGACAUGAGGAACACAAAUCGAUCGGCGGGUGACCAUUUAGGCCAUGUAUUAUAUACCUGUACUGUCCAGAACUACCACCGCGUAGUUCAUUUGAAUGUAAUGAAAUCCGUCAUGUUUGUGUGAAAAUCCGGUAUUUAAUAUGAUUUCCUCAUUAUUUAUAUGAAAUACUCCGGUGGUUGCGUGAAUGAGUAUCAGUUUGUCUACGUGUUUGCGUGAAUUUUGUCCGGUUGGUUGAGUUGUUGUCAUAAUGUGUGCGGCUAUGGUUGGAUGGCGUAAUUUGCGGGUCGCCGGUUGGUCUGCGGGCGUCUCGGGAGGUGUUGUGGGACAAAAAAACACAGCUCGUGCGAGCUCGUCUCCAACAUGCGCGCUGGAGGAUGCAUGACAGCAUGAGCACCCGAGCCGUUCCUCGUUCAUCGGUGGCAAAGGCACAGGUGGACAAAAGGGUCGCCAAUAUUUUGGCUACCCCGGGGCAAGAUCCAAACAACCCCUCCCAACAGAUUCAAAUCCCUCGUUCGCCGUGGAAUUUUUCCAUGUGUUGUUUUCAUGGACUAGCAAGAUGCCCAUGCAUUGCACGGAACAUCAAGAUGCAUUUUUUUACAAACUCCCGCAUGCAUGCAAGGGAUAAUUAAUGUCCUCCUUUGCUAGUACCAUGAGGCAAACACCAUUAAUAUUGCAUUGAUUAGUGUUAGUGGCCUUGUAUAUCUGCAAAUUGUAAUUUUGAUAGUGGCCCCUUGUAUAUAAAAAUGGAGGGAGACAUAUGAGAGAUAAGGUGAGGAGGAGUGUGGCAUGGUGCCGUGGUGGUGACUGGUGGUCGGACUGGGCGGAGGCAUGGGGAUGGACGGCGCAUUAUGUCUAGGUUUGUAUCUCUCUCACACAGACCCACAUAGGUGGGGGACGUGCACAAAGAGAAGAGGUGCACGCACGACACACGUACUCCCAUCUCUUUCCCAACCACACCCGCGCGGGUACACGGUGGAGCUCAUUUCUGUACGAAAAAGGCAGCCCACGUGGUAAUUUGGCACGUGUACUGGUUGUCCACUUGGUGGAGAGAGGAUCGUCUACCAUGGGUGAACAAACAAAUUGCGACUUGACACGUUAUGUUAAAUUAAAAAAAGAGGCAAACCAUGUGGGGCCUACCUUAGAGACAAGGCUCUAUACACUGGAGUACUUUUGAUGUGUCCCGUCAACUCGCAGAACGAGGAGAAACUUGCUUAUUACGGCAUCUCCCCCGCCCACGGGCGCGGUGGCUCGCAGGAUGAGGUGAAGCUGGAGUACUACUGUACGCCUUUACGCCCGCUCCCUUGCCCACGCGCGCGGUGGCUCGCAGCACGAGGAGAAAAUUUUACUACUCCCUCCGUUUACUCCUCGUCCCUACUACGUACUUUGGUUAGUACUCCGUCUAUUUACUUAUAAAAGGACACUAUAAAAAAAUACAUUUUGCAUCUAUACAAGGCCACAAAUAGUAAUCGAGACAAAAGUUACUACUCCCUCCUUUCCAGUUUAUGGCUCAAUUUCAAAAUCUCUCCAACCAAGGUAGACGGUGAGUGGUCGAAUUAAUUUCGUAGUUUGCACAGUACGCUCGUUUUUCUCAAGAAGUUAUGUUUACCGAGGCAUUAAUUAGAACAAUGCAUGAAUGACCACUAAAUUUCCAUGAACUUGUACAUGCAUUGGUUAGUUUCCUCUUGACACUGCUUGCGUCGGGUGAUCUAACGCACCUCGAAAUCCAACAUGUAAUGGUACUACUACUAGUAUAGUACUAGAAUUGAGACUUAUCAAACGAAAAAAUGAAUGUUUUUGGAUGAUCCCUAUAAACCCUAGUGGGUACGUACUCUGUAAAAACAGAUUUUUCCAAAACUAAGUCGCUCCCUUUCAUGAAUUCUGUAGUAUACUCCUCCGUCGACGCUCCCUUUCAUGAAUUCUGUACUUCCUGUCGCCGACAUGUGGGACAUAUAGCAGCCGGGUCGACGUGUCAAGCACCAAAUAAUAGUGCAGAACAGCAGGGGGGACGCACCCCACUCGUACCGGCCCAGUGUUAGUAAUGAGCAAUGAGACGUCAAAUCACAAUGCCGCACCUUCCCAGAUGGACGAAGCGACCAUUAUUUCACACUUUGGUUCGACAUCAUCUCAAACCGCGUACCAGUAUUGCUUCUGCCUCAAAAGGGACACGCGCAUCGCCUUGGUACAUCAUGACACGUGGGACCGCAUGACAGGCCAUGCUCCCCCGCCGAUCGCUGGGUAAAAUCACCUCAUUUUUACUAUACUUCCUCCGGAUCGGUUUACUACAUGGCAUGCAUGUCGUUCUAGGUUGAGAAUUUAACUGGCUAUAUAUAUAUAUAUAUAUGAUGAACAGUACGCUAGCCUUUUAAAAAUGUAUACUUUUGUACAGUAGUACUCCACCAUCGAUGGAUUGCUCCAUGGAGCAAAAAUUGAAAUUUUAAAAAAAGGUGGUACAUAUAGAGAGCGCUCAUCGCCAAAUUAUGCAUAUAGUACUAUUAAAAAAGCUAGUACGUGCUUAAUUGGGGUGCUAAAUUCUAUUAAAGAAAUACUAGUACUAGUAUGUACAUACUGAAGAGUUAAAGUAAUGAGAAGAAACAUAACAUAGUUCUGCUGGGGGCUCAGCACAACACACCCCUCAAAUUAAAUUAAGCACACCUGAAAUUAAACUUGCAACUAAUCCGGUAGACACUGCAUUAGAAGUUUAGAACCGCCAUGAGCAACAACACUGCCACCUUACUCGGAGUCCUCGUCCAUGUCCUCGACUUCGUCCUUGUCCCUCUUCCUCUUGACCGAUACUUCUUUGCUUGAACCGCCAACUUGGCUGCUGCUCUUCAUCAAACCCUUGUAGAUAUUGAAACAAAGGUAGCCAUCCAUUGCAGCGUAGUGGAUGUGGUCUAUAUCUAGUACAUUCCACUGCCAUGCAUGACGAUGAAACGUGUAAUGAGGUUUCUCCAGUUUGCGGUACGAAGGAUGAACCAUGGCUCCUGCCAGGGUCAGCAUUGAGGGCUGAUGAGAGGGCACCAGCCGAUUCUUCUGGAGGUCGAAGGGGUUGCCUACAACGAGGCCUAUCCGACGCAGGACUUCUUUGUCGUUCUUAAAGUCUACAGUAACGAAUUUUACUAUUUUGUCCUCGAGGAAGUUCUUAAAAUCCUGGCACUCAACGUCGGCAUGGCAUAUGUGGUAGACCAAGCAAACAUUAUGUACGCAAACCUGGAUCACGGCGGGCUUCUUCCUCUCUCCGUCCUUUAGAUCCUUCUCUUGUCCCAUGACUGUGGUGUACUCAACAUCUAGCCCAUCAACCCACUCAUCAUGUGAGUUUUCGAACAUGCGUCUGAAGCGAGAAAGGCAUCCUUUCACCGUCGCGGAAGUACGGGUGUAGAUGACGUCGAACUCAUCGCCGGUGAUGGUUCUAACCUUGUACUCACUGCCGAUCGGGGAGAUUUGGGACGCCAUGGAUUUGGGAGGAGGGUUAGGAUUAGUGGAACUGCCGUAAUGUGAAUGGACGGGACGACUAGGAGCGAACCGCCGUAGUAUUAAAGGACGUGCGGGAAAGAGUAGGAGCGAACUGCGAGCGUGCGAAUGGUAGGGUAGUGGCUUUCCAUUCUCCCAUGGUACGGGCUUCCGAGAGCCCUUGGAUCUGAGAUCGAACGGUUGCAUGGAGUGAUUCUAGACCUAUGGGUGAAUAUCCUAUCUUGGAGGGUUAUUCUUAAAAUUUUCAGCAACUUAGCAUGUGACUGUUUGAUCUCAGAUCCAAGGGCUGCCAGCAGCCCGUAUCAUGGUCGUGCCUACCACGUCCGUCGCGUCGCUCGCGUGGUCGCGCCUUGGAGAUUUAACACGGUGCGUUAGGCUAUCUGAUGUUGGCAUGUCAUACAUAGUCAUCACUUAGUCACUCAUACUACAACAAGGUUGGCUAUAAGGUUGGCUAUAAGUGUAUUUUUUUACUCCUCUCUAUCUCUUUCUUCAUACUCCCUCCGUCCCAUAAUAUAAGAACGUUUUUGACACUAGCUAGUGUAGUGUCAAAAACGUUCUUAUAUAAUGGGACACAUGGAGUACUAGUAUUUAUUGCAUUUGCCAAGGAGUGACCUCUUCCAAUGAAAUGGUGUUGCUAAGUUUGCUUCAUUUAAUUAGCUAUAGAGUCAAAAUUGUCUUUUCACCUAGGUACACGCGCUUAGCACCGUUUCUUCCUUGGGUCACCAAACUAGUCUCUCUCUUCUUGAUUAACUUGCCACAUCAGACUUUAUGCCUAUGUGGCAAGCUUAAGCACCUGUAGGAGCAAGUAAGUACAAUAAUGCGCUUUGCCGCUUUACAUGGCAUUUUUGCAUAUGUGGAGGAAAGAGAGGCAAGGAAAAAGUGGAGAAGUGGGCUCUCAUGCAAGAGCCAGCCUCUACUACUACAUGGUGGAGCAUUGGGAGAGGCACCUGUAUGGAGGUGGUCAGGAAUCGGGAGACUCACGCCAGUCGUAGCGCCGCAGUUAAAAUGAUAAUGGCAAGUCAAAUCACGGGGCCCCACCUGUCCAGCAGUAACUCGCUGUCAAAUCACACAGCCCUACGUUUGCAACAGCCUACUCCCUCGUCUUCUCGCGUCUCCGUCGAACCGACUAGGCGGAACUGCCCCGCCUACCGCACAGGAAAAGCCCCACCCUCGACUUCUAAAUACAACUACUCCCUCCGUCGGAUGCGUUUGGGUUAAGGUAUCGUAUGAAUGGAUUGGGACCAUUCAAUUUUUUUGGGAUUGAACCAUUCAAUUCAUGUGUUUGGCUGAAUAUAAGAGAUGAGCUAAUUAUUUAAGAUGGGACCACCAGUCAUGCUCACAUAGUCAUGCAUGCAAAGGGUGGCCAUUUGAUUCGACCGAUUUGGUUGGGUGGAAUGGUUCAGCAUCUUCAAGGCAUAUUCUCUUUUUUGACUCAAACCAUUCAUGUGCUUUAUAACCAAACAUGUCUAUUUUCUGAACGAUCCCAACCCAUUCAUGACCACCCUUGCAACCAAACGCACGUCAUCUUACGAAAACCAAAUAAUCCUACAAUACUAAGGCGCGGUGCAUUAACUUCUACCUCAUUUCUUGUUUCUUCACAUAUCAACCAAUAAGAAUCCAAUGAUAUACUUUUUGUGACAUAGUAACUCAUAUUUAGUUAGUCAAAUGGAUGACCUAGAACUACGUGCAGGCCCUAUAAACCGAGACGCCUACAAAUAAAAAACCGAGACGGAGAGGGUAGUUCAGCACGUAUCUUUUGAGAUCAAUAUAGUCGGGAUUCACCAAGGAGCAAAACCAAGUGGUAGGCUGCUCCUGUCGUGUUGGCGUAGCAACUCAAGCAGGGUCAGUCCGCACAAGAAAUGGCGACACACUUAACAGGACCCCUUUGGUAGACAUGUGGCUCAUCCACCAUCUUGUUCCACGUGCGAUGCACCAAAUUACAGUUCGGAGUAGCGGUUGGAAUUGGAGGCACCCCGGUCGUAGCGCCGCAGUAGUAGAAAAUGAGCGAUGAGGGGUCAAAUCACAAAGCCCCACCUUUCUCGCAUUAAGCUGGACGGACGAAGCAACCAUCAUUUCACUCUAGCGCGCAAGAGCAUAAAGAAAAGAGAAAACAAUGAUGCAUGUGGCAACUACCUAGGGCACCCUAGGGUAGGGGUCUCCACUACAGAUCCUUUUUUUUGAAAAGCGCCUCCACUACAAAUCGGCUUCUCCCUCGUCCUCUUGAAGAAAACUGAUGAUGAGUGUGGCGGUAGGGUUUGUAGGAGUACUACGGCGUGCGGGGCCACGUCAUAGUAAACAGGUUCGAGUCGACGCCUUAAAUAUGUGUGGGCCGCUUGGUUUUACAGGAACGAGGCAACAUUUUGGGUUUGGGGACCAGUGGAGAUAUAGCACGUACAAAAAAUUGUGGACAUAGGUUCGACCGAAAGGCAAUGAUGCAUGGGCCCUGCAUUUUGAUAUACCCGGGGCCGCGUGAAAUUUGCUACUCUACUCAAAACUACUCCCUCCUUUCCGGUUUAUAGGGCUCAAUUCAAAAAUCUCACCAACCAAGGUAGAUGGUGAGUGGUGGAAUAAUUUUUGUAGUUUGCAAAAGCAUCCAAUUAAUGCUCUUGUUUCCUCAAAAAAUUAUGUUUACCAAUGCAUUAAUUGCAAUGCAUGCAUUCAUAAAGUACAUGCAUUGGUCAAUUUUCUCUUAAUACUUGCAUGCAAUGAUUUAAUGCACCUUGAAAUCUGAAUUUAUGAUGGGGAACAACCAAAUUGAGCCUUAUAAAAUGGAAAAACUAAUUUUUUUAGAUAAGCCCUAUAAACCGGAAAGGAGGGAGUAGUAAGGUACACAUGUAUUGAACGAAUGAGAUUUCGAAACCAAAUUAUGAAUAAAUACACACUAUAGCAUGUAAAGCUUUGAGUCAUAUAUGCAUGAUGUAGAUGUUCAUUUAGUUCUUAUAGUUCAUCUCAUUCAAAAUCAAUUAGUUUUAUAAAAAUGUUAAGAUUCAUGGGGUUGUGCAUUGUAAAUCAUAAAGUAAAAAACAAAUAAUGGCAAUUCAUUUAAAAAAAUAAUCAAUUAUGAUACAGAAGAUUCUAGAACAAAGGAGAAGUGCUUGUGUUUUGAGGUUUGUGCAUUAUGCUUAAGUUCAACCAUGGAGUCUUCUAAAUUGUACAUGUGGCAGAUCUGGUGGAAUGUUGAUGAUAUCCAACGGCCAGUAGUGCUCGGAUUUGCCCAUCUCUGCACUGUCGGGUUAGCUUCAUCCAGCGACCAUCUUUCAAAGUUAUUGGCACACUAUAUAGUUCUUGUGCCAUAGUUACAUGUUUUGGAAAAAAGCUACUAGUGGGUUGUACUAUCUAUUUAGGAAUAGAAGAUGCAUAUGUGUAAGUUGUAGUUAAAGAGAUGACAUGGAGCAUCUCAAUUCCCAUGAGUAGGGAUUGGAAAAGAGAUGUCAUUUGGUUCACAUCAUAGGAACUUUUCUAUUGAAUCUAGAGAUGACAUGUAUCUCAAUUCCUAUGAGGAGGGAUUCGUAAAGAGAUGUAAUUUGGUUCAUAUCAUAGGAACUUUUCUAUUGAAUAUACGCUAAUGUUUAUUUUCCUUUGAAAUUAAGGGAGUACAGGAAUCCAUUCAUAUGAACCAAGUGGCUCUAAAGCUAUAGAAAUGAUAUCAUGUUUAUUUCCUUUGAAAUGUAGAGUAUAUGAAUCUAUUCCUAUGAACCAAUUUGCUCUAAAGGAAAAAAAUCCUAUAAAAAAUCAUAUCAUAUAUAGUUCCUAUGAUAUUCCUCGACACUAAAGGAUGGUUGAAAUUGCCGCGGGUGAUACGAUGGUCUUUCUUUGUAGACUCCUCACCCAUCUUUAUAGUUACCUAUCGAAGAUGAAUGAAAUGAUAUCUACAGGGUAUUCUACAUGUGCAAUUUGGUACACGAAAACUUGGUAAAAGUUUGCUAGGUUAUAAUUUUCAAUAAAGCUAUAUGCACUGCAUUUCGGAACGGAGGGAGCAUAUGGUAGUUGCUAUCACUCACGUGGAAGAUUUGUGUGUAGGAUGAGUGGCUCUUCUGUUAAAUGACAUGGCAAAACUGACACUGUCGGAUGCCGAUCUAACGGUUCUUACGGCGUUCGUCAGGAAAAGGCUUGUGGCGAAUGUUUGUUGGAUAAUGAUUUACGGACACAUACAUUGCAUUGAUACAUGCCCCCUCUCUCUCUCACGUACACGCACCCUCACGAGUCACGAAUCUCCCGAGUCCUCUCGCAGACUCGCACGUUGCACCCAUCCUCUAUCUGCAGGUAGACGUCACGCACAUAUGUGCUAUUCACACCCUACCCUCAGAACUUCUAAAAAA